RNAcentral lists this long non-coding RNA (72082 nucleotides) under Hordeum vulgare. RNAcentral describes it as "long non-coding RNA (HVUL_LNC013252)". The record is from RNAcentral. Lineage: Eukaryota; Viridiplantae; Streptophyta; Magnoliopsida; Poales; Poaceae.
CACACGUAUCGUCCGUCAGUACGGUCGUAAACAUAUGUAACAGCUGCGUGCAUGGGCACGACGGAAGUGGUGUGGCGUGUCGUGUGGUCUGCUCACCUGCCGUCGAGGUAGGCAGGGGACUGGAGGCCGGGGAGCCAGGACCCCUUGGCCUGGACGGCGACGUCGCGGCGGGUGGACUUGGCGAGCCCGACGCGGCCGGAGUCGCCCAGGAACCGGGGGCUCGACGCUGACGCCGCCGGCCGGAGAGCGGCCACGGGAGCGCGGGCACUGACCGACGACAUCUUCUGCUACUCCUGACUAGAGAGCGCGUACGGCAGGAGAGUGAGAGUGCGCGCGUGUGUGUGUGGUGGUUCUGCCUCUCCGCACCUGCGCUUGGCCCUUUGUAUUGGGCUGCGCUUCGGUGAUUUGUGGGUGUGGUGAGCUGGGCCCCGGAGGUCGAGAUGGACGGCGUGUGUUGGCGCCACCGCGUCGUCCGACGGCUGCGAUGCGUUUGCGCCUGGAGACUGGAUAGAUGGACCAGUGGGAGACCGGGAGGCGUAUGUGCGUUAUCUGGAUGAUGGAUAAUGCGGAAUCAAAAGGGGGAUCGCUAUUGGUCGGGGAAACGCACGUUCGGUUUACCUGGCUGCCACGUCGAUCGGACGAUCCGUCAUGAUGUACAGCUGUACAUGGUGCCAUGGCGGGUUGGUCUGUUUGCUUCAACUUUCGAGCUCUUCCACGGGAAACCGGCUUUCGCCCUAGAAAUGGCACGGAUGGUCGAACGGAUACAAGGUGAUGGAAAGAACCCCAUAGAAGGCGGUCGCGGCGAGCCGUCACGAUCCCGUAAUCGAACAAGAAAAUAAGAGUCGCCACACCUAACAUGAGGCGACCUAGACUAUUGAAUCGGAACUCAACCGUGCCGCCUAGGAAAAUCAUAGACCAUUAUGCAUAAAACACAUCAAGUUAUCGCCGGAGAAAGUAAGUGUCGAUCCAAUCCGUGGAGUUCCAAUCCUGCGAGCAGAUAGCGAGGACCAAUGACAUUGACUACGAGGACACGUGUAAAUGAUAGGGGAUCAACGGAUCCACUCCACGACGAAGCCGAAGGCACCGAUGUGCUGUAACUGGAUGAUAUUUGUGUUCCCCGACAAUGCCCCGAGGAGGGUAAUGAUGUAGAGCGUUGAUACGUCUCCAACGUAUUUAUGGUGUUUUUAUUGUGUCAUGCUAUUAUAUUAUCAAUUUCGGAUGCUUUAUAUGCUAUUUUAUAUCAUUUUUAAGAACUAACCUAUUAACCGAGUGUCCAGUGUCAGUUCCUAUUUUUUGCGUGUUUUGACUUCUCAGAAAAUCAAUAACAAACGAAGUUCAAACAUGAUGAAACUUUAUGAUGAUUCUUUCUGGACCAAAAAGGGACCCCUAGAAGGUUCGGGAGGAGGCCAGAAGACGUAGGGAGAGCCACAAGCUCACAGGGUGCGCCCCCCCCCCCCCGGGGGNNNNNNNNNNNNNNNNNNNNNNNNNNNNNNNNNNNNNNNNNNNNNNNNNNNNNNNNNNNNNNNNNNNNNNNNNNNNNNNNNNNNNNNNNNNNNNNNNNNNGACGUCUAACUUGUUUUUGCAGGGUAUGAUUGUGAUGUGAUAUGGCCAAUGAUGUGAUGUGAUAUAUUGGAUGUAUGAGAUGAUCAUGUUGUAAUAGAAAUAUCGACUUGCACGUCGAUGGUACGGCAACCGGCAGGAGCCAUAGGGUUGUCUUUAUACUAACGUUUGUGCUUGCAGAUGCGUUUACUAUUUUGCUAGGAUGUAGCUUUAGUAGUAAUAGCAUAAGUAGCACGACAACCCCGAUGUCAACAUGUUGAUGGAUGAUCAUGGUGUGGCGCCGGUGACAAGAAGAUCGUGCCGGUGCUUUGGUGAUGGAGAUCAAGNNNNNNNNNNCUUGCAGAUGCGUUUACUAUAUUGCUAGGACGUAGCUUUAGUAGUAAUAGCAUGCGUAGCACGACAACCCCGAUGGCGACACGUUGAUGGAGAUCAUGAUGAUGGAGAUCAUGGUGUGACGCCGGUGACAAGAAGAUCGUGCCGGUGCUUUGGUGAUGGAGAUCAAGAAGCACGUGAUGAUGGCCAUAUCAUGUCACUUAUGAAUUGCAUGUGAUGUUAAUCCUUUUUGCACCUUAUCUUUCUUAGAACGACGGUAGCAUUAUGAGGUGAUCUCUCACUAAAAUUUCAAGACGAAAUUGUGUUCUCCCCGACUGUGCACCGUUGCGACAGUUCUUCGUUUCGAGACACCAGGUGAUGAUCGGGUGUGAUAGACUCAACGUUCACAUACAACGGGUGCAANNNNNNNNNNUGAAAUUGUGUUCUCCCCGACUGUGCACCGUUGCUACAGUUCGUCAUUUCGAGACACCACGUGAUGAUCGGUGUGAUAGACUCAACGUUCACAUACGACGGGUGCAAAACAGUUGCGCACGCGGAACACUCGGGUUAAGCUUGACGAGCCUAGCAUGUGCAGACAUGGCCUCGGAACACAUGAGACCGAAAGGUCGAUCAUGAAUCAUAUAGAUGAUGUGAUUAGCAUAGGGAUGCUUACCACUGAAACUAUACUCAACUCACGUGAUGAUCGGACUUGAGAUAGUGUAGGUGGAUCAUGAACCACUCAAAUGACUAGAGAGAUGUAAUUUUUGAGUGGGAGUUUAGCAGAUAAUUUGAUUAAGUUGAACUCUAAUUAUCUUCAACAUAGUCUAAGUCCACUUUGAAUAUAUUUGUGUUGUAGAUCAUGGCUGACGCAAGUGUCAUCCUGAAUUUUAAUACGUUCCUAGAGAAAGCUAAGUUGAAAGAUGAUGGAAGCAACUUUGUAGACUGGGCUCGUAAUCUUAAGCUAAUCUUACAAGCUGGGAAGAAGGAUUAUGUCCUUGAUGCUGCGCUAGGAGAUGAACCACCCGCUACGGCUGAUCAGGAUGUUAAGAACGCUUGGUUAGCGCGUAAGGAGGACUACUCAAUAGUUCAAUGUGCAGUCUUGUAUGGCUUAGAACCGGGACUUCAACGUCGCUUUGAGCGUCAUGGAGCAUUUGAGAUGUUCCAGGUGUUGAAGUUUAUCUUUCAGAAGAACGCCUGGAUCGAGAGGUAUGAGACCUCCGAUAAAUUCUAUGCUUGCAAGAUGGAGGAAAACUCGUCUGUCAGUGAACAUGUGCUCAAAAUGUCUGGGUACUCAAACCGUCUAGCUGAGCAGGGGAUUGAACUCCCGCAAGAGGCUAUCACUGACAGAAUCCUUCAAUCACUGCCACCAAGCUACAAAGGCUUUGUGUUGAACUACAACAUGCAAGGGAUGAACAAGUCACCCGGCGAGUUGUUUGCGAUGUUGAAAGUCGCAGAGUCUGAACUCCGUAAAGAGCAUCAAGUGUUGAUGGUGAAUAAGACCACUAGUUUCAAGAGAAACGGCAAAGGCAAGAAGGGUAAUUCAAAGAAGAGACUUGCCGGUAAACGAGAUUGAAAUAGGUAUGCGGAUACUGACGAUCGAAUCUCGGGCAAGUAACAUACCGAAGGACAAAGGGAAUGACAUACGGGAUUAUANNNNNNNNNNNNNNNNNNNNNNNNNNNNNNNNNNNNNNNNNNNNNNNNNNNNNNNNNNNNNNNNNNNNNNNNNNNNNNNNNNNNNNNNNNNNNNNNNNNNUGUGUGUGUGUGUGUGUGCACACUUGUGAUAGUGCAAGUGAUGUGUGUAUGUGUUUAUGUGGCUUAGUUGAAAAGUGGCUCAUGUGAUCUUGCUAGUGUGUUUGGGUGUGUAGUACUUGCAAAGUAUGUGCAUUGUGGAAUAGGUGAGAUGUGUGUGUUGAGGUGAUGUGUGUGUAAGUAGUGCACACAUAUGUGGUACCUAGCAGGAGUGUAUGUAUGUGUGGAUCCAUGUUUACUUGCAUAGCAGUUGUUCCUUCAUGUUGUGCUUGAGAUUAAGUGCUUGUGAUGAGGGUAUUGUGAUGAUAUGUGUGUGGUGAUAACAGCCCCAUUUUCAACACUUGUGCACCUCCUCAUGUUCAUAUGAGAGAGGACAUGAUGUGUGUGUGUGUGAGGGUGAUCUAGUGAAAGUUGUGCUAGUGGUGUUGANNNNNNNNNNGCAACACUUGUGCACCUCCUCAUGUUGAUAUGAGAGAGGGCAUGAUGUGUGUGUGUGAGGGUGAUCUAGUGAAAGUUGUGCUAGUGGUGUUGAUAUGCAUAACACAUACAUGGGGUUCAAACCCCCAUGUCACUUUUUCAUUGUGCACAUGAGCUCAACCUUUGUAGUUGUUGACUUAGUAGGAACUACAUGAAAUGAUGCCCAUUCCCUAGGCAUGAUUUGGAGUAGUUUCCUCUCCCUUAUUUUGUGGUCACUUGUUCCAAGUAAGUGCCCACAUAUUAUAUAUGAUUUUGGGGUAGAAUCUCCCAAGGAAUCCAGUGGUGAAGUUAGUUUUUCCAUUACGAUACUUUAUGGAGUUGACAUAUUCAGAUUUGUUGCAAGUUUGAUCUUUGAUUCCAUGGAAUAGGUGGAGCCCAAGGGCANNNNNNNNNNGCCAUUAGGAUAAUUUCUGGAGUUGACAUAUUCAGAUUUAUUGCAAGUUUGAUCUUUGAUUCCAUGGAAUAGGUGGAGCCCAAGGGCAUGAGUUUUUGUGUGAUAGUAGUAGGGUUUUGCUCUACACCAUAGUGGUGUCAUAUAUCACUUGGUGUUACUUGUGUGCAAACUAUGCCUAGACAAAGUGGGCAUGUGGUUGAAAAUUCCAGUUUAGUGAAAUCUGGAAUUUCACUAAGUCUGGGAUUCUGGAAACAUUUUCUUCUCUUAUAGAUGAGGAUGUGCUGGUCAUUGUGUUGAGAUCUAGCCUUAGUUCAGUGCUAGGAUUUUGGACCUGAUAUGUUUUUUAAGUUCCCUGUCAAAUUUCAAAUCAUUUGGAGUCUAGUAGGUUGUGUUUUGAUUGCUGUCAAAAAGCUUCAGAACAAAGACAGNNNNNNNNNNAUAGCCUUAGUUCAGUGCUAGGAUUUUGGACCUGAUAUGUUUGUGAUGCUUCCUGUCAAAUUUCAAAUCAUUUCGAGUCCAGUAGGUUGUGUUUUGAUUGCUGUCAAAAAGCUUCAGAACAAAGACAGAAAUUCAGGUGCAGGAAUUUUCACCAAGUCCCUGAGAUCUGAUGGUUUUGGGGAAGUUUGUGGCCUUGUAUAUUAAUUCCUUUUGCUGUGAUUCUUGCUGGUGCUUGUAGGGUUCUUAGUGGGCUACAGCCACAUAUAUUAUUUGACAUAUUUGGUGGCCUGUAGCUAUGUUGCAUGUAGCUCACAAAGUGCUAAGAUGCAGUUUAUGGCAGAUUAUGUAGUUUUGUCAUUUCUAUGAUUGUGUGUGCUUAGUGGAUGUGGUGGUGCUCUUACUUGCUCCAAUCCAUUCAUGUGGGAGUGGUACAUGUCUUGGCAACCUGNNNNNNNNNNUAUGCAGUUUAUGGCAGAUUAUGUAGUUUUGUCAUUUUGAUGAUUGUGUGUGCUUAGUGGAUGUGGUGGUGCUCUUCCUUGCUCCAAUCCAUUCAUGUGGGAGUGGUACAUGUCUUGGCAACCUGGGAAUACCAGAUUUGUGCCAAUUGUGAGUGUGGUGUUGAUUCUUACACGUAGAGCUUCAUAUCUUGUUUCGUUGAUUCCCGUUGAACCGUAGCUCCGUUCGCAAUGUUCUUUAUAUGUUUUUGCAUAGUUUUCACGAGACGCAUCUCUUCAUGCCAUUCUCAUGCAUGUAAAAAUAUCCUAGUUUACAGUUCUGUCCAGAAACUUAUAGUAGUUCUUUUGCUUGUGCUAGUGAUAGAAAUAGUGAUGCAUGCUCAUUUUUCANNNNNNNNNNACAAUGUUCUUUAUAUGUUUUUGCAUCGUUUUCACGAGACGCAUCUCUUCAUGCCAUUCUCAUGCAUGUCGAAAUAGCCUAGUGUAAAGUUCUGUCCAGAAACUUAUAGUAGUUCCUUUUGCUUGUGCUAGUGAUAGAAAUAGUGAUGCAUGCUCAUUUUUCAUCUCAUGCAUCAUGUGAUUGUUGCAUCUUGUNNNNNNNNNNNNNNNNNNNNNNNNNNNNNNNNNNNNNNNNNNNNNNNNNNNNNNNNNNNNNNNNNNNNNNNNNNNNNNNNNNNNNNNNNNNNNNNNNNNNGAACAACAUUCGGUAACCAACCAUAUAACUCAAAUACGCAUAAAACAAUGUCGAACCUUAAGUGUGCAGACCCUACGGGUUCAGGAACUAUGUAGACAUCACCCGAGAGACUCCUCGGUCAAUAUCCAAUAGCGGGACCUGGAUGCCCAUAUUGGAUCCUACAUAUUCUACGAAGAUUUUAUCGUUUGAACAUCAGUGCCAAGGAUUCAUAUAAUCCCGUAUGUCAUUCCCUUUGUCCUUCGGUAUGUUACUUGCCCGAGAUUCGAUCAUCAGUAUCCGCAUACCUAUUUCAAUCUCAUUUGCCGGCAAGUCUCUUUACUCGUUCCGUAAUACAAGAUCCGCAACUUACACUAAGUCACAUUACUUGCAAGGCUUGUGUAUGAUGUUGUAUUACCGAGUGGGCCCCGAGAUACCUCUCCGUCACACGGAGUGACAAAUCCCAGUCUCGAUCCAUACUAACUCAACUAACACCUUCGGAGAUACCUGUAGAGCAUCUUUAUAGUCACCCAGUUACNNNNNNNNNNNNNNNNNNNNNNNNNNNNNNNNNNNNNNNNNNNNNNNNNNNNNNNNNNNNNNNNNNNNNNNNNNNNNNNNNNNNNNNNNNNNNNNNNNNNGUAGACCGAUAAUUUCUGCAUCUACUACUAUUACUCCACACGUCGACCGCUAUCCAGCAUGCAUCUAGUGUUUUGAGUUCAUGACGAACAGAGUAACGCCUUAAGAAAGAUGACAUGAUGUAGAGGGAUAAUCUCAAACCAAUGAUGAAAACCCCAUCUUUUUACCCUUGAUGGCAACAACACGAUACGUGCCUCGCUACCCCUUCUAUCACUUGGUGAGGUCACCGCACGGUAUGAACCCAAAACCAAGCAAUUCUCCCAUUGCAAGAAUCAUAGAUCUAGUUGGCCAAACAAAACCCACAACUCGAAGUGAAUUACAAGGAUAUGCAAUCAUGCAUAAGAGAGAUCAGAAGAAACUCAAAUAAGAUUCAUAGAUAAUCUGAUCAUAAAUCCACAAUUCAUCGGAUCUCGACAAACACACCGCAAAAGAAGAUUACAUCGGAUAGAUCUCCAUGAAGAUCAUGGAGAACUUUGUAUUGAAGAUCCAAGAGAGAGAAGAAGCCAUCUAGCUACUAGCUAUGGACCCGUAGGUCUGUGGUGAACUACUCACGCAUCAUCGGAGAGGUCAUGGUGUUGAUGAAGAAGCCCUCCGUAUCCGAAUCCCCCCUCGGUAGGGCACCAGAAUGUGCCCCAGAUGGGAUCUUGCGGAGACAGAAGCUUGCGGCGGCGGAAAAGUACUUUUGAUGAUCUCCUGAUUUUUUCUGGGAUUUUAGGUAAUUUAUAGGCGAAAGACCUAGGGAAGAGGUGGCCCAGGGAGCCCACAAGCCUGGGAGGCGCGGGCCCCCCUGGCCGCGGCUAGGGGGCUUGUGGGGUCCCUGCUGCCCCCCUGCCCAGAUUCUCAGGCUUCUUGAUCUUCUUAUAUUUCGGAAAAAAUCUUUUUGGCAGUUUCGUUCCGUUUGGACUCCGUUUAAAAUCCUCCUCUGAAAAGGGUCAAAAACAUGGAAAAAACAGGAACUGGCACUUGUCACUGAGUUAAUAAGUUAGUCCCAAAAAAUAUAUAAAAGGCAUACAAAACAUCCAAAGUUUGACAAGAUAAUAGCAUGAAACCAUCAAAAAUUAUAGAUACGUUGGAGAUGUAUUAACCUACGAGGUUUGUAGUAACUUGAUCCGAAGCUCUAAUGAUCACUAUCAUCAGCUUCCACUUCAAUUGGUGUAGGCGUCACAGGAACAACUUCCUGCGCCCUGCUACACACUGGUUGAAGUGACGGUUCAAUAACCUCAUCAAGUUCCACCAGUCUCCCACCCAAUUCUUUGGAGAGAAACCUUUCCUCGAGAAAGGAUCCGUUUCUAGAAACAAACACUUUGCUUCCGGAUCUGAGAUAGGAGAUGUAUCCAACUGUUUUGGAUAUCCUAUGAAGAUGCAUUUAUCCGCUUUGGGAUCGAGCUUAUUAGACUGAAACCUUUUCACAUAAGCAUCGCAACCCCAAACUUUCAAGAAACGACAGCUUAGGUUUCUCUAAACCAUAGUCUAUGGCGUGUCAUCUCAACGGAAGUAUGCGGUGCCCUAUUUAAAGUGAAUGUGGUUGUCUCUAAUGCAUAACCCAUAAACGAUAGUGGUAAUUCGAUAAGAGACAUCAUAGUAUGCACCAUAUCAUAAUAGGGUGUGGCUAUGACGUUCACACACAUCAUCACACUAUGGUGUUCCAGGUGGCAUGAACUGCGAAACAAUUUUCACAUUGUCUUAACUGCGUACCAAAAACUCGCAACUCAGAUAUUCAUCUCUAUGAUCAUAUCGUAGACAGUUUAUCCACUUGUCACAACGAUCUUCACUCUGAAAUAGCUUUGAACUUUUCAAUAUUUCAGACUUGUGAUUCAUCAAGUAAAUACUCGUGUAUCUACUCAAAUCGUCAGUGAAGUAAGAACAUAACGAUAUCCACUGCGUGCCUCAGCACUCAUUGGACUGCACACAUCAAAAAUGUAUUACUCCCAACAAGUUACUCUCUUGUUUCAUGUAGCAUGAUCUGCAUGUCUCAAGUGAUUCAAAAUCAAGUGAGCCCAAACGGUCCAUCCGCAUGGAGUUUCUUCAUGCGUUUAUACCAACAAGUAUGGUUUGCAUGUUUCAAUCGUUUCAAAAAAUGAGUGAGUACAAAGAUCCAUCAGCAUGGAGCUUCUUCAUGCAUUUUAUACCAACAUGACUCAAGUGGCAGUGCUACAACUAAGUGGUACUAUCAUUAUAACUUUGUAUCUUUUGGCACCAAUAUUAUGAACAUGUGUAACACUAUGAUCGAGAUUCAAUAAACCAUUGAGGGUAAUUAUUCAAGCAAAUAGAAUAACUAUUAUUCUCUUUAAUUGAAUAAUUGUAUUGCAAUGAACACGAUCCAAUCAUGUUCAUGAUUAACGCAAUCACCAAAUAACAAUUAUUUAAGUUUUACCACCAAUCUGGAUGAUAGAGGGAGCGUGCGAUGUUUGAUCACAUCAACCUUGGAAACACUUCCAACACGUAUUGUCACCUCGCCUUUAGCUAGUCUCCGUUUAUACCGUAGCUUUCAUUUCGAGUUACUAAUCACUUAGCAACCGAACCGGUAUCGAAUACCCUCGUGCUACUAGGAGUAAAGUACACAUCAAUAUCAUGCAUAUCAAAUAUACUUCUGUCGACUUUGCCAGCCUUCUUAUCUACCAAGUAUCUAGGGUAGCUCCGCCUCACUGACCGUUCCCCUCAUAACAGAAGCACUCAGUCUCGGGUUUGGGUUCAAUUUUGGGUUUCUUCAUUAGAGCAGCAACUUGUUUGCCGUUUCAUGAAGUAUCCCUUCAAGCCCUUACCCUUCUUGAAACUAGUGGUUUUACUAAGCAUCAACAAUUGAUGCUCCUUCUUGAUUUCUACUUUCACAGUGUCAAACAUUGCAAAUCACUCAAGGAUCAUCAUAUCUAUCCUUGAUUUGUUUAUAGUUCAUCACGAAGCUCUAGCAGCUUAGUCGCAGUGACUUUGGAGAACCAUCACUAUCUCAUCUGGAAGAUUAACUCCCACUUGAUUCAAGCGAUUGUUGUACUGAGACAAUCUGAGAACAUGCUCAACGAUUUGAGCUUUUCUCCUUUACUUUGUAGGCAAAGAAUCUUGUCGGAGGUCUUAUAUCUCUCAACAAGGGCACGAGCAUGAAAUCUCAAUUUCAUCUCUUUGAACAUCUCUUAUGUUCUGCGAUGUUUUCAAAACGUCUUCAGUGCCUUGCUUCUAAGCCAUUAAGUAUUGCGCACUGAACUAUUAUGUAGUCAUCAAAGACGUGUAUGUCAGAUGUUUGCAGCAUCCACAAACAACACCUGAGGUGCAGCACACCAAGUGGUGCAUUAAGGACAUAAGACUUCUGCGCAACAAUGAGGACAAUACUCAGUUUUACGGACUGAGUCCGCAAAGUUGCUACUAUCAACUUUGAACUAAAUUUUCUCUAGGAACAUAUAAAAACAGUAGAGCUAUAGCGCAAGCUACAUCGUAAUUUGCAAAUACCAUUGGACUAUGUUCAUGAUAAUUAGUUCAAUUAAUCAUAUUACUUAAGAACUCCCACUCAAAAAGUACAUCUCUCUAGUCAUUUGAGUGGUACAUGAUCCGAAUCCACUAUCUCAAGUCCGAUCAUCACGUGAGUCGAGAAUAGUUUCAGUGGCAAGCAUCUCUAUGCUAAUCAUAUCAACUAUACGAUUCAUGCUCGACCUUUCGGUCUCUUGUGUUCCGGGGCCAUGUCUGCACAUGCUAGGCUCGUCAAGUUUUACCCGAGUGUUCCGCGUGUGCAACUGUUUUGCACCCGUUGUAUGUGAACGUUGAGUCUAUCACACCCGAUCAUCACGUGGUGUCUCGAAUCAACAAACUGUAGCAACGGUGCAGAGUCGGGGAGAACACAAUUUCGUCUUGAAAUUUUAGUGAGAGAUCACCACAUAAUGCUAUCGUCGUUCUAAGCAAAAUAAGGUGCAUAAAAGGAUUAACAUCACAUGCAAUUCAUAAGUGAAUGAUAUGGCCAUCAUCACGUGCUUCUUUAUCUCCAUCACCAAAGCAUCGACAUGAUCUUCUUGUCACCGGUGCCACACCAUGAUCUCCAUCAACGUGUCGCCAUCGGGGUUGUCGUGCUACUUAUGCUAUUACUACUAAAGCUACGUCCUAGCAAUAUACUAAACGCAUCUGCAAACACAAACGUUAGUUUAAAGACAACCCUAUGGCUCCUGCGGGUUGCCGUACCAUCGACGUGCAAGUCGAUAUUAACUAUUACAACAUGAUCAUCUCAUACAUCCAAUAUAUCACAUCACGUCAUUGGCCAUAUCAUAUCACAAGCAUAUCCUUCGAAAACAAGUUAGACGUCCUCUAAUUGUUGUUGAAUGUUUUACGUGGUUUCAAUGGGUAUCUAGUAGAUCGCAUCUUACUUACGCAAAAACCACAACGCAGAUGUGCAAAUUGCUAUUUAUCCUCUCCAGGGACCGCCUCGGUCAAAACCAAUUCAACUAAAGUUGAAGAAACCGACACCCGCCAGUCAUCUUUAUGCAACGAGGUUGCAUGUCAAUCGAUGAAACUAGUCUUUUGUAAGCAUACGAAUAAUGUCGGUCCGGGCCGCUUCAAUCCAAAAAUACCGCCAAAUUGAGAAAAGACUCAGGAGGGCAGCAAAUCGAACAUCACCGUCCAGAAAACCCUUUGUGUUCUACUCGAGAUUACAUCUACGCAUGAACCUAGCUCAUGAUGCCUAUGUUGGGGAACGUCGCAUGGGAAACAAAAAAUUUCCUACGCGCACGAAGACCUACCGUGGUGAUGUCCAUCUACGAGAGGAGAUUUGGAUCUACGUACCCUUAAAGAUCGCACAGCAGGAAGCGUUAAGAAACGCGGUUGAUGUAGUGGAACGUCCUCACGUCCCUCGAUCCGCCCCNNNNNNNNNNUCCGUCCCACGAUCCGCUCCGAUCUAGUGCCGAACGGACGGCACCUCCAUGUUCAGCACACGUACAGCUCGACGAUGAUCUCGGCCUUCUUGAUCCAGAAAGUAAGACGAAGAAGUAGAUGAGUUCUCCGGCAGCGUGAAGGCGCUUCGGUGGUGGUUGCUACGACAACAAAAGUUCUUCCCCGGCAAUGGCGCCAGAAAUCCUUCUUGCUACUUCUCAAACAACAACGCCAAAAUUGACACGUUGACGGAGACUUGCUUGCGUCGGUUUUUGCCUUGAAGAGGAAAGGGUGAUGCAGCACAGGAGCAGUAAGUAUUUCCCUCAGUUUGAGAACCAAGGUAUCAAUCCAGUAGGAGAAUCUCGUCAAGUCCAGAGUACCUCCACAAACAUAAAGAUCUUGCACCCAAUGCUAUAAAGGGGUUGUCAAUCCCUUCAAGAUUGAUUGCAAAGUGAGAUUUGAAGGCGGAAAGUGCAACGAAGUAAAAUUGUAAGGCUAAAAAUAUGGUGUGGAGUAGACCCCGGGGCCAUAGUGUUCACUAGAGGCUUCUCUCAAAAUAGCAAAUAUUACAGUGGGUGAACAAAUUACUGUCGAGAAAUUGAUAGAACCGCGCAAAGUCAUGACGAUAUCUAAGGCAAUGAUCAUACAUAUAGGCAUCACGUCCGAGACAACUAGACCGAUACUUUCUGCAUCUACUACUAUUACUCCACACAUCGACCGCUAUCCAGCAUGCAUCUAGUGUAUUGAGUUCAUGACGAACAGAGUAACGCCUUAAGCAAGAUGACAUGAUGUAGAGGGAUAAUCUCAAACCAAUGAUGAGAACCCCAUCUUUUUACCCUCGAUGGCAACAACACGAUGCGUGCCUCGCUACCCCUUCUGUCACUGGGUGAGGUCACCACACGGUAUGAACCCAAAACCAAGCACUUCUCCCAUUGCAAGAAUCAUCGAUCUAGUUGGCCAAACAAAACCCACAACUCGAAGAGAAUUACAAGGAUAUGAAAUCAUGCAUAAGAGAGAUCGGAAGAAACUCAAAUAAGACUCAUAGAUAAUCUGAUCAUAAAUCCACAAUUGAUCGAAUGUCGACAAACACACCGCAAAAGAAGAUUACAUCGGAUAGAUCUCCAUGANNNNNNNNNNNNNNNNNNNNNNNNNNNNNNNNNNNNNNNNNNNNNNNNNNNNNNNNNNNNNNNNNNNNNNNNNNNNNNNNNNNNNNNNNNNNNNNNNNNNNNNNNNNNNNNNNNNNNNNNNNNNNNNNNNNNNNNNNNNNNNNNNAUACUAGCUAUGGACCCGUAGGUCUAUGGUGAACUACUCACGCAUCAUCGGAGAGGUCAUGGUGUUGCUGAAGAAGCCCUCUGUAUCCGAAUCCCCCCUCCGACAGGGCACCGGAACGUGCCCCAGAUGGGAUCUUGUAGAGACAGAAGCUUGCGGCGGCGGAAAAGUACUUUCGAUGAUCUCCUGAUUUUUUUCUGGGAUUUUAGGGAAUUUAUAGGCGAAAGUCCUAGGGCAGAGCUGGCCCAAGGAGCCCACAAGCCUGGGAGGCGCGGGCCCCCUGGUCGCGGCUAGGGGGCUUGUGGGGUCCCUGCAGCCCCCCUGCCCUGAUUCUCAGGUUUCCCGAUCUUCUUCUGUUUCAGAAAAAAUCUUUUUGACAGUUUCAUUCCGUUUGGACUCCGUUUAAAAUCCUCCUUUGAAAGGGGUCAAAAACAUGGGGAAAUAGGAACUGGCACUGAGUUAAUAAGUUAGUCCCAAAAAGUAUAUAAAAGGCAUGCAAAACAUCCAAAGUUUGACAAGAUAAUAGCAUGAAACCAUAAAAAUUAUAGAUACAUUGGAUACGUAUCAAGCAUCCCCAAGCUUAACUCCUGCUCGUCCUAAAGUAGGGAAGUGAUAAAGAAUUAAAUUUUGAUGUGGAAUGCUACCUAGCAUAGUUGUCCUUUGCAACUUCUUUCAUGUGACAUGAGUGUUCAGAUCCGUGAGAUUGAAAACAAUAGUUUGCUAUUGACAUGAAAACAAUAAUACUUCAAGCAAACUAGCAAGGUAAUCAUGAACUUUAAAAAUAACAAGGCCAAGGAAAGUUAUCCCUACAAAAUUAUAUAGUCUGGCUAUGCUCCAUCAUCCUCACACAACUAAUGUAAAUCAUGCACAACCCCGGUAUUGGCCAAGAAAUAGUUUUCGCACUCUUACUUUCUCAAACUUUUUAUAACUAUCAUGCAAUACAUGAGCGUGAGCCAUGGAUAUAGCACUAUAAUUGGAAUAGAGUGUGGUGGUGGUUGUGAGACAAAAAGGAGAAGAUGGUCACAUUGACUCUGCGUAUCAAAGGGCUAUGGAGAUACCCAUUAAUAGAUAUCAAUGUGAAUGAGUAGGGAUUGCCAUACAAAGGAUGCACUAGAGCUAUAAGUAUGUGAAAGCUCAAAAGGAAAACUAGUGGGUGUGCAUCCAACUUGCUUUCUCACGAAGACCUAGGGCAAUUUUGAGGAAACCCAUCAUUGGAAUAUACAAGCCAAGUUAUAUAGUGAAGAUUCCAACUAGCAUAUGGUGGUGACGAAACGAGAGGCUCUCAAUCAUGAAGAACAUGGUGCUAUUAUGAAGCACAAGUGUGGAAAAAGAUAGUAGCAUUGUCCCUUCUCUCUUUUCUCUCUUCUUCUUUUUUAUUUGGGCUCUUAGGCCUCUUUUUCUCUUUUUUUGGGCUCUUUGGCCUCUUUUUUUAUUUUAUUUCCUCACAUGGGACAAUGCUCUAAUAAUGAUGAUCAUCACACUUUUAUUUACUCACAGCUCAAAGCUUAGAAAUGACUUCUAUAGGAAAUGCCUCCGGCAGUGUACCGGGAUGUGCAACGAUCUAGCUUGGCGUAUGACGUUGAAACAUAUCGCUAGCUAUCUUGCGAUCAUGCAAUGGAAAUAUGAGAGUGACGGCACAAGUCAUGAGACGGAACGGUGGGAGUUGCAUGUCAAUAUAUCUCGGAAUGGCUACGAAAAUGCCAUAGUAGGUAGAUAUGGUGGUUGUUUUGAGGAAGGCAUUUGGUGGGUUUGUGUACCGGCGAGAAUUGCACGGCACUAGAGAGGCUAGCAAUGGUGAAAGGUGGAAGUGCAUCUAUACCAUGGACUCACAUUAGUCAUGAAGAACUCACAUACAUGUUGCGAAAUUUUUUAUUAGUAAUCGAAACAAAGUGCUAAACGCAUACUCCUAGGGGAAGGGUUGGUAGGUGUUAACCAUCGCACGAACCCGACCUCAACACAAAGGAUGACAAUCAAUAGAUCAAUUAUGCUUCGACUUCCUAACAUAGCGGUUCACCAUACGUGCAUGCUACGGGAAUCACUAACUUUAACACAAGUAUUUCUAGAUUCACAAUACCCUACUAACAUAACUCUUAAUAUUACCAAAUCCACGCCUCCAAACUAAUUGAGAGGAAUCAAAACUUCUCUUUCUACUCAAUGCACAUGAAUAUGGAGGUUUUUGUAUCCUCUUUGGGUACCUAUCACCUUUGGGACUACUUUCAUAGCAUAAGCCAACUACCAAAUCACGCACCGCCGUGCUCUAACAGAUCUAAGUGAAGCACAUAUAGCAAAAUUGUCUAGCUGAAAAGAUAUAAGUGAAGCACAAUGAGCAUUCUAGCAAAAUCACGGUGAGUUCAUGUCUAUCUCUAAAGGUGUGCAUCAAGGAUGAUUGUGACACAACAAAAAGAAAAUAAUCCUAAGAUACAAGACACUCCAAGCAAAACACAUAUCAUGUGGUGAAUAAAAAUAUAGCUCCAAGUAAUGUUACCGAUGGAUUGAAGACGAAAGAGGGGAUGCCUUCCCGGGGCAUNNNNNNNNNNNNNNNNNNNNNNNNNNNNNNNNNNNNNNNNNNNNNNNNNNNNNNNNNNNNNNNNNNNNNNNNNNNNNNNNNNNNNNNNNNNNNNNNNNNNGGAUGCCUUUGCGGCCUGUGUUCGUUUAUGAUGGACUAGUUGGAGCACCCCUGCAGGGUUUAAUCUUUCAGAAAGCCGUGCCCACGGUUAUGUGGCAACUUGGAAUAUUUUGUUAACAUCCGGUAUUAGAGAACUUGAACAUAAGCUAAUAAAAUUGCCAACUGUGUGCGUAUCCGUGUCUGUCCCCUCGAAGAUCCCUCUUCGAUCGGGAACACGGUGGGGUUAUGAAUGCCGUAGGUAGGUGGUCAGGAUCACUUAGUGAUCAAGUAUUCCCGACCGCUAGUGUAGACCACCUUCACAAUUACUUCGCGUAAGUUAGCCACUUAAUCAAGCUUAGGAUGCUGCAGCCUUAUACACUUCACCCUUACCCUACCUAAUAACAUGACUAGUUCUGGCACCAAGGUCUUAGAUUGCUGAGUCCCCGUGGCUCACGGAUUCCUCCGAAACUCCCAGCAGGUACAGGUACCCCAGAUAUAGAUGAUCCCGACGGCACCCAGCUGGCGUGGCAGUACGACGAGGAGACAGACCGCCUCUACGUGACCUAUCCAGGGGACUGAGGCGUGGUCGUGAUCGUGGGCCUGCAGGCAGGGUAGCAUAGCAUUUCCAUGUUUUGUAGUCCGUAGCGGAACUACNNNNNNNNNNNNNNNNNNNNNNNNNNNNNNNNNNNNNNNNNNNNNNNNNNNNNNNNNNNNNNNNNNNNNNNNNNNNNNNNNNNNNNNNNNNNNNNNNNNNAAAAAAAAGAGCAGGUGGGAAAAGGGGGAAGGACUCCUCCUUCCAAACCUAAUUGGACUCGGUUUGGAAGGGGAGGGUUGCCCCCCUUGGCUCGGCCGCCCCCUUGGGAGUCCUUGGACCCCAAGGCAAGGCUCCCCCUCCUCCCCCUAUAUAUACGCAGGUUUUAGGGCUGAUUUGAGACAACUUUGCCACGACAGCCCGACCACAUAUCUCCACGGUUUCACCUCUAGAUCGCGUUUCUGCGGAGCUCGGGCGGAGCCCUGUGAGAUAAGAUCACCACCAACCUCCGUAGCUCCGUCACGCUGGCGGAGAACUCAUCUACCUCUCCAUCACUCUUGCUGGAUCNNNNNNNNNNAGUUUCACCUCUAGAUCGCGUUUCUGCGGAGCUCGGGCGGAGCCCUGCUGAGAUAAGAUCACCACCAACCUCCGGAGCGCCAUCACGCUGGCGGAGAACUCAUCUACCUCUCCAUCACUCUUGCUGGAUCAAGAAGGCCGAGAUCAUCGUCGAGCUGUACGUGUGCUGAACGCGGAGGUGCCGUCCGUUCGGCACUAGAUCGUGGGACUGAUCGCGGGACGGUUCGCGGGGCGGAUCGAGGGACAUGAGGACGUUCCACUACAUCAACUGUGUUCACUAAUGCUUCUGCUGUGCGGUCUACAAGGGUACCUAGAUCGAACAUCCCCUCUCGUAGAUGGACAUCACCAUGAUAGGUCUUCGUGCGCGUAGGAAAUUUUUUGUUUCCCACGCGACGUUCCCCAACAGUGGCACCAUGAGCUAGGUUCAUGCGUAGAUGUCUUCUCGAGUAGAACACAAAAGUUUUUGUGGGCGGUGAUGUGCGUUUUGCUGCCCUCCUUAGUCUUUUCUUGAUUCCGCGGUAUUGUUGGAUUGAAGCGGCUUGGACCGACAUUACUCGUACGCUUACGAGAGACUGGUUUCAUCGUUACGAGUAACCCCCUUUGCUCAAAGAUGACUGGCAAGUGACGGUUUCUCCAACUUUAGUUGAAUCNNNNNNNNNNNNNNNNNNNNNNNNNNNNNNNNNNNNNNNNNNNNNNNNNNNNNNNNNNNNNNNNNNNNNNNNNNNNNNNNNNNNNNNNNNNNNNNNNNNNUGGGAUCUUGUAUUACGGAACGAGUAAAGAGACUUGCUGGUAAACGAGAUUGAAAUAGGUAUGCGGAUACUGACGAUUGAAUCUCGGGCAAGUAACGUACCGAAGGACAAAGGGAAUGACAUACGGGAUUAUACGAAUCCUUGGCACUGAGGUUCAAACGAUAAGACCUUCGUAGAAUAUGUAGGAUCCAAUAUGGGCAUCCAGGUCCCGCUGUUGGAUAUUGACCGAGGAGUCUCUCGGGUCAUGUCUACAUAGUUCUCGNNNNNNNNNNNNNNNNNNNNNNNNNNNNNNNNNNNNNNNNNNNNNNNNNNNNNNNNNNNNNNNNNNNNNNNNNNNNNNNNNNNNNNUGGGUCAUGUCUACAUAGUUCUCGAACCCGCAGGGUCUACACACUUAAGGUUCGACGUUGUUUUAUGCGUAUUAGAGUUAUAUGGUUGGUUACCGAAUGUUGUUCGGAGUCCCGGAUGAGAUCACGGACGUCACGAGGGUUUCCGGAAUGGUCCGGAAACGAAGAUUGAUAUAUAGGAUGACCUCAUUUGAUUACCGGAAGGUUUUCGGAGUAACCGGGAAUGUACCGGGAAUGACGAAUGGGUUCCGAAGUUCACCGGGGGGGCAACCCACCCCGGGGAAGCCCAUAGGCCUUGAGGGAGGCACACCAGCCCUUAGUGGGCUGGUGGGACAGCCCAAAAGAGCCCUAUGCGCCAUAGAGAUAAAAAUCAAAGAGAAAGAAAAAAAAAGGGAGGUGGGAAGGAAGGGAAGGACUCCCUCCCACCAAACCAAGUCCAACUCGGUUUCGGGGGGGAGUCUUCCCCCCUUGGACUCGGCCGACCCCCUUGGGGCUCCUUGAGCCCCAAGGCAAGGUCCCCUCCCUCCCACCUAUAUAUACGGAGGUUUUAGGGCUGAUUUGAGACGACUUUUCCACGGCAGCCCGACCACAUACCUCCACGGUUUUUCCUCUAGAUCGCGUUUCUGCGGANNNNNNNNNNGGCGGAGCCCUGCUGAGACAAGAUCAUCACCAACCUCCGGAGCGCCGUCACGCUGCCGGAGAACUCUUCUACCUCUCUGUCUCUCUUGCUGGACCAAGAAGGCCGAGAUCAUCGUCGAGCUGUACGUGUGCUGAACGCGGAGGUGCCGUCCGUUCGGUACUAGAUCGUGGGACUGAUCGCGGGAUUGUUCGCGGGGCGGAUCGAGGGACGUGAGGACGUUCCACUACAUCAANNNNNNNNNNNNNNNNNNNNNNNNNNNNNNNNNNNNNNNNNNNNNNNNNNNNNNNNNNNNNNNNNNNNNNNNNNNNNNNNNNNNNNNNNNNNNNNNNNNNCGGACCGUCGCCGUUGCACGUCGAACGACGCGGAACGCCGCCGCUCGCUCCGUCCACCGGUCGCCUCCCUCCGUCCUCGGAACCAGGCGCCGCCGCCGUCCUCCGAACCCGACCGAGGCCGGCGCCGGCCGGCGCCCACUCGACCCCCGAGAACCACGUCCAGGGUCGACCUCCGAGGCGCCACUUGGCCGCGGGCAGGCUGCGCUGGCUCCGGGCUCCGGGCGCGGGGGCGGGCGAGCGGCUGCUAGGCGGAGGACGAAGAGGAGGAGGAGGAAGACUUGACGAGGGCGGAGAGCCAGACGACGACGACGUUGAUGGAGAUGGUCACGUACGGCCUAGCGUCCACGGAGAAGUUGAAGCUGAAGUAGGACGCUCCCGGCGCCGAGGAAGAUGCCGCCAUCUCCAUGUCCAUGGUCUCUGUCUGUGGUAUGCCUGUCUCCUCUGCUCUUGCUGCCUUGGUGCUUCUUGCUUGCCUCUGGGAUGAGAGUUGUCGCUGGUCGCUGCGUGCUGGAUGCUAUUUGCAGAGCACGAAGGCUUGGCAUAUAUAGCUUGGUAGCCUCGCGAUAAGGCGCGAAACAAGUUGGAAGCGGGAUCGKACCCGUUGCGACUUGGGAAGAAGGAAAGCCGGGAGCGAAGAAGGUUCCCGGAAGCGGGGAGGCGUGGUGGAAACGCCGGACCAGACCGAGCGGUCGCCGGUUCGUGGCUUGUGAAAGUGAUGGAGCUGUCGUGCGCGCGCGCGCGGGGGUGUUUUUCAGCGGGUUUCGAGGGAGCUUCGCGGCGUGGAAACAUGCGCACCGGCGACCUGACCGUCCUGCUUUCUCGUGUUCUCGGUUGGGGUUGGCGUUGGAAUUCCACGCAGCCUCUCUCUCUCCUAUUUUAGUGGGCACGUCGCUCUCGUUUCGUCUGUGGUGCAGCCGCUCGUCUGCUACUCUUUCCGUUGUCGGGUUUCCUCCUGGUUGAUUUUCUUUUUGCGACUGAAUUCUGAUUUGAUUUUGAUAGAUAUAUGUGCGGUGGUGGACUGGUCGCAGGGAGCUGGGGGUGGUAUACGGCGACCGGUGUGAAGGAAGGUUGGUGAGUUGGCUGGCGAGCGCUUGACCAGAUUUCGUGGUGGACUCGACCAAACCAAACCAAACAGUGGCGUAGGUCUUUGCGCCAGCGGGCGUGAGGGAAUGCUUGCUCGUGCCCCCACCACCGGGUCGUCUCCGAUGACUGAGGUGUUUACACGCGACAGAGGUGCUAAUUAUGUGUGCUGCCGGCUGCAUAUAGAUCGAUAUACGCUAAAUGGAAACAUGACAACAAAACGUACGUUUGCCCGCACAAACCUUCCUGGACGGCAUGUUUGUCUCACGCUACUUUUCAUCCUUUGUUUUACAAAUUUGAAAUCUGAAGCUACAUUUCUUUUAAACACGAUAUAGAUGCAAGAGCUCAUAUAUAAGAGCAACUCUAGCAUACCCCGCAUCCCGUCGGCCCGUAAAACGCGUUUGCAGGUCGCGCAAAACAGCUUUUGCAGGCUGGCGUGGGCUGGCACAGAUGCGGACCCACCAAACGGAUCCGUAAAAAAAUAUAGUCGCGAAAUAUUCCUUUUUACGGGUCGGCUUUGCGGGAUCUGCUCUUUGCACCGCUGCUUCCCACGUAUCAUUAGCCCGCAAAUAUCAAAUACUCCCUCUGUAAGUUAAUAUAAGAGCAUUUAGACUACUAAAGUAGUGUUCUAAAUGCUCUUAUAUUAGUUUACGGGGACAUAAUUCAACAGCCGAAAACAAACUGAAUUAUUCGAAUCAAACACAAUACAAUAAUCAUCCGCAUUACAAACAAUUAUUCAAAACAUGUCAUGAAUACAAAUACAAAUGAAUACAAAAAUAAGUCACUGUCCAGCCAUUUGCCAAUGGUGUUCAAUGAGAUCUUUCUGAAGUUGAAAGUGGGUGUGUGGGUUUUCAAUCUCCUUGUCUGUCUGAAGAAAAGCUCUAAUGCGGUUUGGGUCUCUAGCUGGUUUAACACGGCUACCCACAUUGUCGUAAAAGAAUUCUAAGUUCCCAAGAUUCCUCGCAAGCUUGAACAAUUUUCACAAAGAGGGAUCGACGCAUUCCUUCUUUGAGUAAAUUACCGGCAAUUUUCCUCGCAAGCUUGAACAAUUUUCACAAAGAGGGAUCGGCGCAUUCGGUACCUUCUCCGGAAGAGGUGUGGAGGAUAUGUAGGAUGUUGGGGAACGUCGCAUGGAAAACAAAUUUUUUCCUACGCGCACAAAGACCUAUCAUGGUGAUGUCCAUCUACGAGGGGGAUUUCAGAUCUACGUACCCUUGUAGAUCGCACAGCAGAAGCGUUAAUAAACGCGGUUGAUGUAGUGGAACGUCCUCACGUCCCUCGAUCCGCCCCGCGAACCGUCCCACGAACCGUCCCGCGAUCUGUCCCACGAUCCGCUCCGAUCUAGUGCCGAACGGACGGCACCUCCGCGUUCAGCACACGUACAGCUCGACGAUGAUCUCGGCCUUCUUGAUCCAGCAAGAGAGACAGAGAGGUAGAUGAGUUCUCCGGCAGCAUGACGGCACUCCGAAGGUUUGUGGUGAUCUAAUCUCAGCAGGGCUCCGCGCGAGCUCCGCAGAAACGCGAUCUAGAGGAAAAACCGUGGAGGUAUGUGGUCGGACUGCCGUGGAAAAGUUAUCCCAAAUCAGCCCUAAAACCGCCGUAUAUAUAGGUGGGAGGGGAGGGGCCUUGCCUUGGGGCUCAAGGAGCCCCAAGGGGUUCGGCCGAAGGGGGGAGGAGGAGUCCUCCUCCAAUCCUAGUCCAACUAGGAUUGGAAGGUGGAGUCCUUCCCUUCCUUCCCACUUCCACUUUUUUCUCUUUGAUUUUCUUAUCUCCCUGCGCAGGGGCCUCUCUGGGCUUGCCCACCAACCCACUAAGGGCCGGUGCGGCACCACUAAGGCCUAUGGUCUUCCCCGGGGUGGGCUCGNNNNNNNNNNNNNNNNNNNNNNNNNNNNNNNNNNNNNNNNNNNNNNNNNNNNNNNNNNNNNNNNNNNNNNNNNNNNNNNNNNNNNNNNNNNNNNNNNNNNCUAAAAAAAGGGUUACUUUUAGUUUUGUAAAACAAAUUUUUAGGUAAUGUUACCUUUUCUAUAAUUUUUACUGAAAUUACUAAAACAAUAAUUACAGUUUUUCUAAAAAAAAUAGUUUUGAAAUUUUGAAAAAAUUAGGUUUAACUUUUUCAUUUUUUUAAGGUAGUUUUAMAAAWARUUACCAAAUUWCARWAAHAAUUUAAAAAAAAUAAAAAAAAUAAAAACAAAGAACAAAAAGGGUAAAAGGGAAAGAAAAUAAAAGAAAGAAAAAAACAAACAAAAAAUCUAAAAAAGAUAAAAUACCAAAAACGUAGAAGAAACAGGAGGAACCUUCUAGGAGAAAAAACGACUGAGAAACUAUAGAAGGUUCCCCAAACCGGAAUGGUGCAACUUGUUAAUAGUCGGCCCAGGUGAUUACCAUAAAAUGGACACAAUUUUAAUUGUAGAUGUAACUAAUUCACAAAAUGAAUCGUGCAUGAAAAUUCACAUGCAUAUCUUCUUUGUGUGGCGCCCGGUUGUACAUCGUGUAGCAUUUGAUCUACAGGCGCUACACCUCUGAUAAGCGUGGCAUCCGAGGUUAUAAUUCUGAUUGUAUGAUGUUUAAAUGAAAGGAGUCACUCUACAUUAUAUGACACCCGCUGAAAGAAGCCACAUUAUUUUAUAUUAAAAUUGAUGUAACUUUUAAUCCUUGCAUCCGAUGAAAAUAUGUUUUAUAUGAAUAUUGUGUAUUUUUCUGUGUUCUACGCAAUGGUGUCAUUUCCAUCGAUGUUAAGAUCAAUUUUCUUGAUGAAAUCUCUGUUGCAAAAAUGCGUCAUAAUAUAAUUGAUCGGAUUUGUUAAGACUUACAAAGUUGACAUGAUGGUAGCCACUGACUUAUAGCUUUUAUGCAUUUGCAUUCUACAUGAGUUUUACCCUAUAUAAUGUGUAUGUUCACGUCAUGUUCAUGCUUGUCAUGUUAGUCAUCUUUAAUAUGUUCAUGUCUUGCAUCUAAGUGACUAACAUGAUAUAUUUUUUGUAAACAAUCUUAUGAAGCUUUAUUUAACUGAAAUCAAUGUUUACAGAAAUAAAUGCAGGAUCAUCGGGUUGCUUAACCACACAUGGUCGCCAACCCCUAGUCUGGUAACAUGCUUCGUUAUGGAUGGGCCAGUUCCAAACACAGUAGGCCCACUUCCACCUCGUAGCCGGGCUUAGUCAGGUCAGUCGUCCAUUGUAGGAUUUUCUUCCACCUGGUCUUCGCACCUCUGAGACGGGGAGAUGCGGAGGCCGUCGGCUUCGUCGCCUCCGGCGAGGGGACCGGCGUUGGCUGCAGCAGCCGCUGUCGUUCUCCUCCCGGCUAUUUUCCCCGCGCUGUUCUCCCCGCUCGGCCGCGCCUUCCCUUCCCUAUUCUCGGUGCGUCCCCUAUAGUCGCCAUCCUCCUCUCCAGGCGGCUCGAUUUGAGCCGGUGUAGCGUCAUAUUGGCGAUCUUCCGCUUCUCUAGCUGCUUCCUACGCCUCUCCUUGCUAGUUCGCCACUUUGCCGAGUCCGAUUGUUUGGGGUGGGCGAAAAUUGGAUAUAAUCUAGAGGGAUUGGUACUUUUGGGGGGAGGAAUGUAUGUGGAAGGUGAAAUGAUGUGGUGAAUUCGUGGCUUUGUCCCCUCUUGAAUUGGAACUAGUACGAAAUUACAUUUGUUUAUUUGGUGUAUAUGUAUGUCGAUGCAGAGUAACCUGUAAAUAAGCAAAGUGUGCAACCUGUAAAUAAGCGAAGUUUGCAAGAUCUGGAUUCUUUUGAUGGACAGCAUCAUGCCAGUUGCAUCGGAUAUUUUGGUUUGGACAGUGGUCUCCAAUGUGUGAUUACGAGUAGAUUUUUUUGUAUGCAUUUCGGGGCAGUGUGGGACGCUGGGACUGUACUCGGCUACCAUGAGCCAUGACAGUAUUGGGAAUAACAUGUGUACUGGAUUACUCUACUAUGGCUGUGAAGAUAGAUUGGCUACUGAUGUGGACCUUAGUAAAUAUUUCUGCAGACUGCAAUAUUGUCUUUUUAAGAUUAAUCAUGUGGACAGCGUGUAUACUGCAGGAGUGGAAUGCCCCUAAGCCAAUGCACGAGUCUCUUUUCAAUGAGUCUUUGCGAUGGACAAUAGUGAGUAUUCACAACUCAGAUAAAUACUGGAAAUAGUUAUGUUGAAGUCUAUUUGUAACUUACUCUCUGUACAGCCAGAUGAACAAAAAAGAGAUCUCUGGACACCCUUGCCUGAUCAGGGGUGGAAACCAUGCAUAAGGUCAUCGAUCACUCGUGGUAACAUUCUGUGAUAAAUCUGUUUAGGUAAUGAUAUGCCUCCCGCUGCGAUAGAUCACUAAGCAUUUGGUUAUAUGAAGUGUAGGGUUACCUUCACAACCCAGUGGGUACAUACAAGUAUUUCUUGAUGGUGGCCUGAACCAGCAGAGAAUGGGGGUAACUCACUUCUUAUGUACCAAACUCAUGAUGUUAGAUUUAAUAUAACUUGCUUGGUUGAAACUUCAGAUCAUCUGGCUCUUUCUUUUUGUUCUCUAGAUAUGUGAUGCAGUUGCGGUUGCUAAGAUUUUGAACGCUACUCUUGUGAUCCCACAUCUUGAAGUAAACCCUGUUUGGAAAGACUCAAGGUGCUUUUGGAGUUUCAGAGUACUACUGUAUCUUGUUAAUUUUAAAUACUCCUGUUAGAUUGGAAGUGAAAGGUUUAGUUUGGUCUGCAGCUCAUUUGGAGAUAUUUUUAAUGUGGAUCACUUCAUCAACACCCUAAGAGGCGAUGUUUCAAUAGUGAGAGCUCCAUUAAAAGAAUUUUCGUGGAGCACAAGAGAGUUCUAUAGCACAGGAAUACGUGCUACAAGAAUAAAAACUGCACCUCUUCAUGCCUCGGCUAAUUGGUAUAUAGAGAAUGUCAGUCCUAUCCUGCAAAGGUUUGUGAUUUUCUUGGCCAUAUAGUCGCUUCUCUAGACCCCUUGAGUAAGUGGCAUAAUAAUGCUAAGAAACUGCAGUUCAUGUUUAGCCCAGGUUGAUGGCCACUGAACUGGCUUUAUAGUAUUAACAUGACAACUCGUUGUCUAACUUCAUUAGUUGGUUACUCUGUGAGGGGAAUCCUUCACCGAAAAUCUCAUGCAAGCGUUGUUUCCCUUGUCAGCUAUGGCAUUGCUGCCAUUGCCCCCUUUUCUCACCGCCUUGCAUUCGAUGAUUUGCCUGUGGAUAUUCAACGCCUGCGCUGUAAAGUUAACUUUGAAGCCCUGGUUUUUGUGCCUUACAUUAUAUCACUGGGGAGGACCCUUGAGAAGCGCUUGAGAUCUCCAGUGCAGGGGCAUUCCACUGAAUUAACCCAACAAGUUGUAGAAGAUUACACAGAUCAGUCUGAAAAGUAUGCAGUUGUACAUCUCCGCUUCGAUAAGGUAAAUGGAAGGGCUUCUGCUAUAUUUGGAAGUCGUACGUGUAUAUUUUUGUUAUCUUCAAGGAAUUUCCACUCUGAAACAACUCAAGCUGACCUACAUUUUUCAGGAUAUGGCUGCACAUUCUGCCUGUGACUUUGGCGGUGGUAGAGCUGAAAAAUUAGCUCUGGCUAAGUACAGGCAAGUUAUCUGGCAAGGGAGGGUAUUAAAUUCACAGUUAAGUGAUGAGGAGCUUCGAAACACAGGACGCUGCCCGUUGACUCCAGAAGAGAUUGGAUUGAUACUAGUAGCGCUUGGCUUUGACAGCAAAACUCGAUUUUAUCUUGCCUCUCACAAGGUUUGACUCUCUGCCUCUGCCGGUGCGCUUACUUAUUCUCCGUAGUGGAAGCAGAAAUUUCUAACAUACGUCACCUAUUAAGGUAUAUGGAGGGGAAGCUAGGAUCUCUAGCUUGCGCAAGCUUUUCCCGCUGAUGGUAGACAAGAGGAGCCUUGCAUCGGCAGAUGAGCUUGCUAGUAUCGAAGGGAAGGCUUCUGUGCUAGCAGCUCUUGACUACCAUAUCAGCAUGCACAGCGAUGUUUUCAUCUCUGCUUCUCCUGGCAAUAUGCAUAAUGCACUGGUAAAUCCUGUUUGGCUUCAGCUGUAUUCGCUAGAUUUCUCCUCUUUCUUUAUUGGUCCUGACCAGAUGAUGGUUGAUUCAGCUGGCCCACCGGACCUAUAGGAAUCUGAAGACGAUAAGGCCAAACAUGACAUUGCUUGGCCACAUAUUUGUGAACAAGAGCAUGGAGUGGUCAGAGUUUCAGCAGGCUGUGCAGGCAGGCCACAAAGGUAGAUACGGGCAGAUCCGGCUGAGGAAGCCGAAGCAGUCUAUCUAUACUUAUCCUGCCCCAGAUUGUAUGUGCCCAGGGUAGAUCGCCAAGUUUUCUGCGGUGCACCGACAAAAGAAAUGUGCUGAGUUACUUGCAGUUUCUAAUUAGGUUAAGCUCAUGUGGAUAUGUAUAUUUAGUUCUGAAUUUUCGGUUGAAUCAGUUUGCUGCCACUUCCAAUAGGAUCUUAAAAUUUUAACCAAAAUUUACGCACUAUACGUUGAGCCUUGAAGGACUCUAAUCUUGUGCUGUUUGCACGAUCCAUACGACGAAGUUGUAGUUUUGGAGCUGAUGUUGUGUAUCUGUGACCUGACUUGAUAUACUGGAUCCUUUUUCUUCUUUUAUUCCGCUGUUCUACUUCUGGGAGUCCGGUGUUCUGAAUUUCUGCUUUGAUUUAGUAUUACUAUCGUCAUGGCGAAUUCGAUACUAAUGCUUCAAACUAGUAGUAUGUUUUGCCAUGUUUUAAAAUAACACGCAUGGGUGAUAUUACAAGUACAGCCUCCGUCGGAAGCCAUGGGCGAAUCCACAAGGACAAAGUUUCACCACCGGAACUUUAAGAUUACAACACGUUUUUGCACUGCCACCUACUCCUCCACACUUUGUACAUCCUCAGCACCCCAAAAUAAUAAUUCAGACCACCUGAAACCUCCUUGGUCGGUGAAAUCGACGGAUUUAUUGGCCGGAGAUGGUCUGGAUGAUGGUGUUGUGCCAUGGGUCGGCCAGGUGCUGCUGCAGGUUCUCGAACGGCCCCUUCCCGGUCACGUUGUGCUGCACCAGGAACCCCAGGAACGCCAGCAUGGCCAGUCUCCCUGAACGAAUGAACGCGCGCGCGAAUACAGAUUAACGAGAGCCGUCGGAUUAGAAACCCGAGGGUUCAGAUGAGACUGAAGAGAGGAUGGACGUACCGUUGGCGAGCUCCUUCUCCUUGUUCUCGAGGGUGGGGGCGAAGUUGAGGGGGUUGAAGACGCUGCCGGGGUAGCCGCACUCGUGGGGCGGGAGGCUGUAGCUCUUGAAGAUGGGGUCCUGGUUGACGGAGCCCGGGUUCUUGAUGUCCUGCCACCGCCGGAUCUCGACGUAGUGGAAGAGGAUGAACUCGAUGACGAAGAGCGUGGAGGAGGAGGCGAAGUAGGUCUCCUUGCCGGCGUCGUACCACUCGGGCGCGUUCAGCAGCCCCGCCUUGGUCAGCACCUCCGGGAUCAGCAUCCCCGCCACCCCCAGCAUCGCCCACCGCCCGUUCACCAGCUCCGCCUGCACGAACCACCGCAGGUCCUCCGGGUCCUCCGCCAGCGCCAGCGGGUCAAAACCAUUGUCACCCGCCAGACUGCACACGUAUCGUCCGUCAGUACGGUCGUAAACAUAUGUAACAGCUGCGUGCAUGGGCACGACGGAAGUGGUGUGGCGUGUCGUGUGGUCUGCUCACCUGCCGUCGAGGUAGGCAGGGGACUGGAGGCCGGGGAGCCAGGACCCCUUGGCCUGGACGGCGACGUCGCGGCGGGUGGACUUGGCGAGCCCGACGCGGCCGGAGUCGCCCAGGAACCGGGGGCUCGACGCUGACGCCGCCGGCCGGAGAGCGGCCACGGGAGCGCGGGCACUGACCGACGACAUCUUCUGCUACUCCUGACUAGAGAGCGCGUACGGCAGGAGAGUGAGAGUGCGCGCGUGUGUGUGUGGUGGUUCUGCCUCUCCGCACCUGCGCUUGGCCCUUUGUAUUGGGCUGCGCUUCGGUGAUUUGUGGGUGUGGUGAGCUGGGCCCCGGAGGUCGAGAUGGACGGCGUGUGUUGGCGCCACCGCGUCGUCCGACGGCUGCGAUGCGUUUGCGCCUGGAGACUGGAUAGAUGGACCAGUGGGAGACCGGGAGGCGUAUGUGCGUUAUCUGGAUGAUGGAUAAUGCGGAAUCAAAAGGGGGAUCGCUAUUGGUCGGGGAAACGCACGUUCGGUUUACCUGGCUGCCACGUCGAUCGGACGAUCCGUCAUGAUGUACAGCUGUACAUGGUGCCAUGGCGGGUUGGUCUGUUUGCUUCAACUUUCGAGCUCUUCCACGGGAAACCGGCUUUCGCCCUAGAAAUGGCACGGAUGGUCGAACGGAUACAAGGUGAUGGAAAGAACCCCAUAGAAGGCGGUCGCGGCGAGCCGUCACGAUCCCGUAAUCGAACAAGAAAAUAAGAGUCGCCACACCUAACAUGAGGCGACCUAGACUAUUGAAUCGGAACUCAACCGUGCCGCCUAGGAAAAUCAUAGACCAUUAUGCAUAAAACACAUCAAGUUAUCGCCGGAGAAAGUAAGUGUCGAUCCAAUCCGUGGAGUUCCAAUCCUGCGAGCAGAUAGCGAGGACCAAUGACAUUGACUACGAGGACACGUGUAAAUGAUAGGGGAUCAACGGAUCCACUCCACGACGAAGCCGAAGGCACCGAUGUGCUGUAACUGGAUGAUAUUUGUGUUCCCCGACAAUGCCCCGAGGAGGGUAAUGAUGUAGAGCGUUGAUACGUCUCCAACGUAUUUAUGGUGUUUUUAUUGUGUCAUGCUAUUAUAUUAUCAAUUUCGGAUGCUUUAUAUGCUAUUUUAUAUCAUUUUUAAGAACUAACCUAUUAACCGAGUGUCCAGUGUCAGUUCCUAUUUUUUGCGUGUUUUGACUUCUCAGAAAAUCAAUAACAAACGAAGUUCAAACAUGAUGAAACUUUAUGAUGAUUCUUUCUGGACCAAAAAGGGACCCCUAGAAGGUUCGGGAGGAGGCCAGAAGACGUAGGGAGAGCCACAAGCUCACAGGGUCGCCGCCCCCCCCCCCGGGGGGGGGGGUAGGGCCCCUUGAGCUCGUGACUCCCACAGAACUCAUUUUGACCUAAUUCCACCUCUAUAUAUUCCCAUAUAAUCCCAAACCAACAGAGAGACACCCGAAACACUUUUCCCACUGCCGCAAGACUUUGUUCUUCCGUGAUUCCAUGUGGAGGCCUUUCCGGUACUCUAGCAGAAGGUGAAUCGAUCAUGGAGUCCAUCUACAUCAACCUUGAUGUCUCCAUGAUGGUGCGUGAGUAGUUCACCACGGACAUACGGGUCCAUAGCUAGUAGCUAGAUGGCUUAUUCUCCCUCUUUGAUCUUCAGUACCAUGUUCUCCUUGAUCUUUCUGGAAUUCUGUCCAAUGUAAUCUUCUUUUGUGGUGUGUUUGUUAGGAUCCGAUGAAUUGUGUGUUUAUGAUCAGAUUAUUCAUUUAAAGUAAUUGAGUCUUUUCUGAACUUUAUUAUGCAUGAUUGUUAUUGCUUUGUAUUUCUGUGUGAUCUAUCUAUUUGGUUUGGCCAACUAGAAUGAUUUAUCUUCAGUGGGGGAGAUGCUCUGUGAUGGGUUCAAUCUUGGGGUGUCCUCACCCAGUGAUAGUAGGGGUAGCGAGGCACGUAUUUGUAUUAUUGCCAUAAGGGAUAAAACAACAAGGGUUAUUCAUAUUGAUUGGGUUUACUUUUUCUACAUCAUGACAUCUUGAUUAUAGCAUUACUCUAUUUUUCAUGAACGUAAUACCUAGAUAGGCAAGCAUAGAAGCACUUUUGAAGUGGAGUAAUGGUACUAGAUGCAGAAUCGUUUCGGUCUACUUGUCACAGACGUGAUGCCUAUAUACAUGAUCAUUGCCAUGAAUAACAUCGUAAUUAUGCUCUUUUCUAUCAAUUGCCCAACAAUAGUUUGUCUACCCACAGUAUGCUAUGUGUUCGAGAGAGAAACCAAAUAUACUUUAUUCCAACUUACUUACUUUAUUUACUUUUAUUUUUAUAUAUCUAUCACUAUCAAAAUUAAUCCUUGCAAGUAACGAGUUCAAGGGGAUUGACGAUCCUCUUGCCUGUGUUGGGUGCAAGUGUUUGCUUUUGUGUGUGUAGGUGUUGAGGACAAUAAUUUGCAUGCUUCUCCUAUUGGUUCGAUAACCUUGGUUCUCACUGAGGAAAAUACUUAUCCGCUACUAUAUUUCUUCACCCUUCCUCUUCGGGGAAAAUCCCAACGCACCUCACAAGUAGCAGAAAGAAUUUAUGGCGUCGUUGUUGGGGAGAAUCACCAAACAACUCGAGGUACCUACACACACACUAUCGUUUACUUGUUUUGAUGGGGAACGUUGCAUGGGAAACAAAAAAAGUCCUACGCACACGCAAUACCUAUCCAUGGUGAUGAUCAUCUACGAGAGGGGAGAGUGUAUCUACAUACCCUUGUAGAUCGCUAAGCGGAAGCGUAUAUAACACGGUUGAUGUAGUGGAACAUCUUCGCGAUCCAAAUCGCAGCCCGUCCCGCGAUAUCAUCACGAUCCGUCCCUCGAUCCCAUCACGAUCCAUCUCGAUCUAGUGUCGAACGUACGACACCUCCGCGUUCAGCACACAUACAGCUUGAUGACGAUCUCCGCUUUCUUGAUCCAGCAAGAGAGACGAAGAGGUAGCUGAAUUCUCCGGCAGCACGACGACGUGGCGAUGAUGGUGGUGGAGCUACUCCGGCAGGGCUUCGCCGUGCCGUACCGAACUAGCUACGGGGUGUCACGAAGUGGUGGAGGGAGAGAGGGUUGCACUAUGGCUUGGGUGCCAAAAGCCUCUCUCACCUCCACUAUAUAUAGGUGGGAGGGAGGGGUGGCGCCCUAGGGAAAACCCCCUAGGGUUGGCCGGUGCACCAAGCAAGGAGGAGGAGUCCCUUCCUAUUUCGGUUUGCCCCACCUCUUCCUUCCUUUCUCCUCCUUCGGCCGAACCAGGCCCAUUUGGGCUGGCCACCAGCCCACCACGGGCUGAUGUGACUGUUGGGGAACGUCGCAUGGGAAACAAAAUUUUUCCUACGCGCACGAAGACCUAUCAUGGUGAUGUCCAUCUACGAGAGGGGAUGAGUGAUCUACGUACCCUUGUAGAUCGUACAGCAGAAGCGUUAGUGAACGCGGUUGAUGUAGUGGAACGUCCUCACGUCCCUCGAUCCGCCCCGCGAACAAUCCCGCGAUCAGUCCCACGAUCUAGUACCGAACGGACGGCACCUCCGCGUUCAGCACACGUACAACUCGACGAUGAUCUCGGCCUUCUUGAUCCAGCAAGAGAGACGGAGAGGUAGAAGAGUUCUCCGGCAGCGUGACGACGCUCCGGAGGUUGGUGAUGACCUUGUCUCAGCAGGGCUCCGCCCGAGCUCCGCAGAAACGCGAUCUAGAGGAAAAACCGUGGAGGUAUGUGGUCGGGCUGCCGUGGAAAAGUCGUCUCAAAUCAGCCCUAAAACCUCCGUAUAUAUAGGUGGGAGGGAGGGGACCUUGCCUUGGGGCUCAAGGAGCCCCAAGGGGGUCGGCCGAGUCCAAGGGGGGAAGACCCCCCCCCCCAAACCGAGUUGGACUUGGUUUGGUGGGAGGGAGUCGUUCCCUUCCUUCCCACCUCCCUUUUUUUUAUUUCUCUUUGAUUUUUAUCUCUAUGGCGCAUAGGGCUCUUUUGGGCUGUCCCACCAGCCCACUAAGGGCUGGUGUGCCUCCCUCAAGGCCUAUGGGCUUCCCCGGGGUGGGUUGCCCCCCCGGUGAACUUCCGGAACCCAUUCGUCAUUCCCGGUACAUUCCCGGUUACUCCGAAAACCUUCCGGUAAUCAAAUGAGGUCAUCCUAUAUAUCAAUCUUCGUUUUCGGACCAUUCCGGAAACCCUCGUGACGUCCGUGAUCUCAUCCGGGACUCCGAACAACAUUCGGUAACCAACCAUAUAACUCUAAUACGCAUAAAACAACGUCGAACCUUAAGUGUGCAGACCCUGCGGGUUCGAGAACUAUGUAGACAUGACCCGAGAGACUCCUCGGUCAAUAUCCAAUAGCGGGACCUGGAUGCCCAUAUUGGAUCCUACAUAUUCUACGAAGAUUUUAUCGUUUGAACAUCAGUGCCAAGGAUUCAUAUAAUCCCGUAUGUCAUUCCCUUUGUCCUUCGGUAUGUUACUUGCCCGAGAUUCGAUCGUCAGUAUCCGCAUACCUAUUUCAAUCUCGUUUACCGGCAAGUCUCUUCUUUGAAUUACCCUUCUUGCCUUUGCCGUUUCUCUUGAAACUAGUGGUCUUAUUCACCAUCAACACUUGAUGCUCUUUACGGAGUUCAGACUCUGCGACUUUCAACAUCGCAAACAACUCGCCGGGUGACUUGUUCAUCCCUUGCAUGUUGUAGUUCAACACAAAGCCUUUGUAGCUUGGUGGCAGUGAUUGAAGGAUUCUGUCAGUGAUAGCCUCUUGCGGGAGUUCAAUCCCCUGCUCAGCUAGACGGUUUGAGUACCCAGACAUUUUGAGCACAUGUUCACUGACAGACGAGUUUUCCUCCAUCUUGCAAGCAUAGAAUUUAUCGGAGGUCUCAUACCUCUCGAUCCGGGCGUUCUUCUGAAAGAUAAACUUCAACUCCUGGAACAUCUCAAAUGCUCCAUGACGCUCAAAGCAACGUUGAAGUCCCGGUUCUAAGCCAUACAAAACUGCACAUUGAACUAUUGAGUAGUCCUCCUUACGUGCUAACAUCCUGAUCAGCCGUAGCGGGUGGUUCAUCUCCUAGCGCAGCAUUAAGGACAUAGUCCUUCUUCCCAGCUUGUAAGAUUAGCUUAAGAUUACGAGCCCAGUCUACAAAGUUGCUUCCAUCAUCUUUCAACUUAGCUUUCUCUAGGAACGUAUUAAAAUUCAGGAUGACUGUCGCGUGAGCCAUGAUCUACAACACAAAUAUAUUCAAAGUGGACUUAGACUAUGUUGAAGAUAAUUAGAGUUCAACUUAAUCAAAUUAUCUGCUAAACUCCCACUCAAAAAUUACAUCUCUCUAGUCAUUUGAGUGGUUCAUGAUCCACCUACACUAUCUCAAGUCCGAUCAUCACGUGAGUUGAGUAUAGUUUCAGUGGUAAGCAUCCCUAUGCUAAUCACAUCAUCUAUAUGAUUCAUGAUCGACCUUUCGGUCUCAUGUGUUCCGAGGCCAUGUCUGCACAUGCUAGGCUCGUCAAGCUUAACCCGAGUGUUCCGCGUGCGCAACUGUUUUGCACCCGUCGUAUGUGAACGUUGAGUCUAUCACACCGAUCAUCACGUGGUGUCUCGAAAUGACGAACUGUAGCAACGGUGCACAGUCGGGGAGAACACAAUUUCAUCUUGAAAUUUUAGUGAGAGAUCACCUCAUAAUGCUACCGUCGUUCUAAGAAAAAUAAGGUGCAUAAAAGGAUUAACAUCACAUGCAAUUCAUAAGUGACAUGAUAUGGCCAUCAUCACGUGCUUCUUGAUCUCCAUCACCAAAGCACCGGCACGAUCUUCUUGUCACCGGCGCCACACCAUGAUCAUCCAUCAACAUGUUGACAUCGGGGUUGUCGUGCUACUUAUGCUAUUACUACUAAAGCUACAUCCUAGCAAAAUAGUAAACGCAUCUGCAAGCACAAACGUUAGUAUAAAGACAACCCUAUGGCUCCUGCCGGUUGCCGUACCAUCGACGUGCAAGUCGAUAUUUCUAUUACAACAUGAUCAUCUCAUACAUCCAAUAUAUCACAUCACAUCAUUGGCCAUAUCACAUCACAAUCAUACCCUGACAAAAACAAGUUAGACVUACACCUAGUAUGUUGUUGCAUGUUUUACGUGGUGACCAAGGGUAUCUAGUAGGAUCGCAUCUUACUUACGCAAACACCACAACGGAGAUAUAUGAGUUGCUAUUUAACCUCAUCCAAGGACCUCCUCGGUCAAAUCCGAUUCAACUAAAGUUGGAGAAACCGACACUUGCCAGUCAUCUUUGAGCAACGGGGUUACUCGUAACGAUGAAACCAGUCUCUCGUAAGCGUACGAGUAAUGUCGGUCCAAGCCGCUUCAAUCCAACAAUACCGCGGAAUCAAGAAAAGACCAAGGAGGGCAGCAAAACGCACAUCACCGCCCACAAAAACUUUUGUGUUCUACUCGAGAAGACAUCUACGUAUGAACCUAGCUCAUGAUGCCACUGUUGGGGAACAUCGCAUGGGAAACAAAAUUUUUCCUACGCGCACGAAGACCUAUCAUGGUGAUGUCCAUCUACGAGAGGGGAUGAGUGAUCUACGUACCCUUGUAGAUCGUACAGCAGAAGCGUUAGUGAACGCGGUUGAUGUAGUGGAACGUCCUCACAUCCCUCGAUCCGCCCCGCGAACAAUCCCGCGAUCAGUCCCACGAUCUAGUACCGAACGGACGGCACCUCCGCGUUCAGCACACGUACAGCUCGACGAUGAUCUCGGCCUUCUUGGUCCAGCAAGAGAGACAGAGAGGUAGAAGAGUUCUCCGGCAGCGUGACGGCGCUCCGGAGGUUGGUGAUGACCUUGUCUCAGCAGGGCUCCGCCCGAGCUCCGCAGAAACGCGAUCUAGAGGAAAAACCGUGGAGGUAUGUGGUCGGGCUGCCGUGGAAAAGUCGUCUCAAAUCAGCCCUAAAACCUCCGUAUAUAUAGGUGGGAGGGAGGGGACCUUGCCUUGGGGCUCAAGGAGCCCCAAGGGGGUCGGCCGAGUCCAAGGGGGGAAGACUCCCCCCCGAAACCGAGUUGGACUUGGUUUGGUGGGAGGGAGUCCUUCCCUUCCUUCCCACCUCCCUUUUUUUUUCUUUCUCUUUGAUUUUUAUCUCUAUGGCGCAUAGGGCUCUUUUGGGCUGUCCCACCAGCCCACUAAGGGCUGGUGUGCCUCCCUCAAGGCCUAUGGGCUUCCCCGGGGUGGGUUGCCCCCCCGGUGAACUUCGGAACCCAUUCGUCAUUCCCGGUACAUUCCCGGUUACUCCGAAAACCUUCCAGUAAUCAAAUGAGGUCAUCCUAUAUAUCAAUCUUCGUUUCCGGACCAUUCCGGAAACCCUCGUGACGUCCGUGAUCUCAUCCGGGACUCCGAACAACAUUCGGUAACCAACCAUAUAACUCUAAUACGCAUAAAACAACGUCGAACCUUAAGUGUGUAGACCCUGCGGGUUCGAGAACUAUGUAGACAUGACCCAAGAGACUCCUCGGUCAAUAUCCAAUAGCGGGACCUGGAUGCCCAUAUUGGAUCCUACAUAUUCUACGAAGAUCUUAUCGUUUGAACCUCAGUGCCAAGGAUUCGUAUAAUCCCGUAUGUGAUUCCCUUUGUCCUUCGGUACGUUACUUGCCCGAGAUUCGAUCGUCAGUAUCCGCAUACCUAUUUCAAUCUCGUUUACCGACAAGUCUCUUUACUCGUUCCGUAAUACAAGAUCCCGCAACUUACACUAAGUUACAUUGCUUGCAAGGCUUGUGUGUGAUGUUGUAUUACCGAGUGGGCCCUGAGAUACCUCUCCGUCAUACGGAGUGACAAAUCCCAGUCUUGAUCCAUACUAACUCAACUAACACCUUUGGUGAUACCUGUAGAGCAUCUUUAUAGUCACCCAGUUACGUUGCGACGUUUGAUACACACAAAGCAUUCCUCCGGUGUCAGUGAGUUAUAUGAUCUCAUGGUCAUAGGAAUAAAUACUUGACACGCAGAAAACAGUAGCAACAAAAUGACACGAUCAACAUGCUACGUCUAUUAGUUUGGGUCUAGUCCAUCACGUGAUUCUCCCAAUGAUGUGAUCCAGUUAUCAAGCAACAACACCUUGUCCAUAAUCAGAAGACACUGACUAUCAUCGAUCAACUGGCUAGCCAACUAGAGGCAUGCUAGGGACGGUGUUUUGUCUACGUAUCCACACAUGUAAAUGAGUCUUCAUUCAAUACAAUUAUAGCAUGGAUAAUAAACUAUUAUCUUGAUACAGGAAUUAUAAUAAUAACUAUACAUUUAUUAUUGCCUCUAGGGCAUAAUUCUAACAGUCUCCCACUUGCACUAGAGUCAAUAAUCUAGCCCUCACAUCACCAUGUGAAUUACAUUGUAAUAAAUCUAACACCCAUACAGUUCUGGUGUCGAUCAUGUUUUGGCCGUGGAAGAGGUUUAGUCAGCGGGUCUGCUACAUUCGGAUCCGUGUGCACUUUGCAUAUAUUUACGUCGUCCUCCUCGACGUAGUUGCGGAUGAGGUUGAAGCAUCGUUUGAUGUGUCUGGUCUUCUUGUGAAACCUUGGCUCCUUUGCUAAGGCAAUGGCACCAGCGUUGUCACAGAACAAGGUUAUUGGAUCCAGUGCACUUGGCACCACUCCAAGAUCCGUCAUGAGCUGCUUCAUCCAGACACCCUCCUUAGCCGCCUCCGAGGCAGCCAUGUACUCCGCUUCACAUGUAGAAUCUGCUACCACGCUUUGCUUGGAACUGCACCAGCUUACUGCACCCCCAUUAAGAAUAAAUACGUAUCCGGUUUGCGACUUAGAGUCGUCCGGAUCUGUGUCAAAGCUUGCAUCGACGUAACCUUUUACGGCGAGCUCUUCGUCACCUCCAUACACGAGAAACAUCUCCUUAGUCCUUUUCAGGUACUUCGGGAUAUUCUUGACCGCUGUCCAGUGAUCCACUCCUGGAUUACUCUGGAACCUACCUGCCAUACUUAUGGCCAGGCUAACAUCCGGUCUAGUGCACAGCAUCGCAUACAUGAUAGAACCUAUGGCUGAAGCAUAGGGGACGGAGCGCAUAUGCUCUCUAUCUUCAUCAGUUGCUGGGCACUGAGUCUUACUCAAUCUCGUACCUUGUAACACUGGCAAGAACCCUUUCUUGGACUGUUCCAUUUUGAACCUCUUCAAAACUUUAUCAAGGUAUGUGCUUUGUGAAAGUCCUAUCAGGCGCUUUGAUCUAUCCCUAUAGAUCUUAAUGCCUAGAAUGUAAGCAGCUUCUCCUAGGUCCUUCAUAGAGAAACUUUUAUUCAAGUAACCUUUUAUGCUCUCCAAAAGCUCUACGUUGUUUCCAAUCAGUAAUAUGUCAUCCACAUAUAAUAUUAGAAACGCCACAGAGCUCCCACUCACUUUCUUGUAAAUACAAGAUUCUCCAACCACUUGUAUAAACCCAAAUGCUUUGAUCACCUCAUCAAAGCGUUUGUUCCAACUCCGAGAUGCUUGCACCAGUCCAUAAAUGGAUCGCUGGAGCUUGCACACCUUGUCAGCAUUUUUAGGAUCGACAAAACCUUCGGGUUGCAUCAUAUACAACUCUUCCUUAAGAAAACCAUUAAGGAACGCCGUUUUGACAUCCAUCUGCCAGAUUUCAUAAUCGAAAAAUGCAGCUAUUGCUAACAUGAUUCUGACGGACUUAAGCAUUGCCACGGGAGAGAAAGUCUCAUCGUAGUCAAUUCCUCGAACUUGUGAAAAAUCCUUUGCCACAAGUCGAGCUUUAUAAACGGUCACAUUACCGUCAACGUCCGUCUUCUUCUUAAAGAUCCAUUUGUUCUGAAUAGCCUUGCGGCCUUCAGGUAGUAUCUCCAAAGUCCACACUUUGUUCUCAUACAUGGAUCCUAUCUCAGAUUUCAUGGCUUCUAGCCAUUUGUUGGAAUCUGGGCCCACCAUUGCUUCUUCAUAAUUCGCAGGUUCAUUGUUGUCUAACAACAUGAUUGAUAAGACGGGAUUACCGUACCACUCUGGAGCAGUGCGUGAUCUCGUCGACCUGCGUGGUUCAACAGAAACUUGAACUGGAGUUUCAUGAUCAUCAUCAUUAACUUCCUCCUCAACCGGCGUCGCAAUGACAGAGGUUUCCCCUUGUCCUGCGCCACCAUCCAGAGGGAUGAGAGGUUCGACAACCUCGUCAAGUUCUAUCUUCCUCCCACUCAAUUCUCUCGAGAGAAACUCCUUCUCGAGAAAAGUUCCGUUCUUAGCAACAAACACUUUGCCCUCGGAUUUGAGAUAGAAGGUGUACCCAACUGUCUCCUUUGGGUAGCCUAUGAAGACGCAUUUUUCCGCUUUGGGUUCCAGCUUUUCAGGCUGAAGCUUUUUGACAUAAGCAUCACAUCCCCAAACUUUAAGAAACGACAACUUUGGCCUUUUGCCAUACCACAGUUCGUAUGGUGUCGUCUCAACGGAUUUUGAUGGUGCCCUAUUUAAAGUGAAUGCAGCUGUUUCUAAUGCAUAACCCCAAAAUGAUAACGGCAAAUCAGUAAGAGACAUCAUAGAUCGCACCAUCUCUAACAAAGUACGAUUACGACGUUCGGACACACCAUUACGCUGUGGUGUUCCAGGCGGUGUUAACUGCGAAACAAUUCCACAUUGUCUUAAGUGAGCACCAAACUCGAAACUCAGAUAUUCACCCCCACGGUCAGACCGUAGGAACUUGAUCUUCUUGUUAUGAUGAUUUUCCACUUCACUCUGAAAUUGCUUGAACUUUUCAAAUGUUUCAGACUUGUGCUUCAUCAAGUAGACAUAACCAUAUCUACUUAAAUCGUCAGUGAAGGUGAGGAAAUAACGAUAUCCGCCGCGUGCCUCCACGCUCAUUGGACCACACACAUCGGUAUGUAUGAUUUCCAACAAGUCACUUGCACGCUCCAUUGUUCCGGAGAACGGAGUCUUAGUCAUCUUGCCCAUGAGGCAUGGUUCGCACGUGUCAAGUGAAUCAAAGUCAAGUGACUCCAAAAGUCCAUCAGCAUGGAGUUUCUUCAUGCGCUUUACACCAAUAUGACCCAAGCGGCAGUGCCACAAAAAUAUGGCGCUAUCAUUGUUUACUCUAACUCUUUUGGUCUCAAUGUUAUGCAUAUGCGUAUCGCUAUCAAGAUUCAAUAUGAACAAUCCUCUCACAUUCGGUGCAUGACCAUAAAAGAUGUUACUCAUAGAAAUAGAACAACCAAUAUUCUCAGACAUAAAAGAGUAACCGUCUCGCAAUAAACAAGAUCCAGAUAUAAUGUUCAUGCUCAACGCAGGCACUAAAUAACAAUGAUUUAAGUUCAUCACUAAUCCCGAUGGUAGUUGAAGUGACACUGUGCCGACGGCGAUUGCAUCAACCUUGGAACCAUUUCCUACGCGCAUCGUCACUUCGUCUUUCGCCAGCUUUCGUCUAUUCCGCAGUUCCUGUUUCGAGUUGCAAAUGUGAGCAACAGAACCGGUAUCGAAUACCCAGGCACUACUACGAGAGCCGGUUAAGUACACAUCAAUAACAUGUAUAUCAAAUAUACCUGAUUUUUCUUUGCCCGCCUUCUUAUCUGCCAGAUACUUGGGGCAAUUGCGCUUCCAGUGACCCAUACCCUUGCAAUAGAAGCACUCUGUUUCAGGCUUAGGUCCAGCCUUGGGUUUCUUCGGCGGAUUGGCAACAGGUUUGCCGCUCUUCUUCGAAUUGCCCUUCUUGCCUUUGCCGUUUCUCUUGAAACUAGUGGUCUUGCUCACCAUCAACACUUGAUGCUCUUUACGGAGUUCAGACUCUGCGACUUUCAGCAUCGCAAACAACUCGCCGGGAGACUUGUUCAUCCCUUGCAUGUUGUAGUUCAACACAAAGCCUUUAUAGCUUGGCGGCAGUGAUUGAAGGAUUCUGUCAGUGAUAGCCUCUUGCGGGAGUUCAAUCCCCAGCUCAGCCAGACGGUUUGAGUACCCAGACAUUUUGAGCACAUGUUCACUGACAGACGAGUUUUCCUCCAUCUUGCAAGCAUAGAAUUUAUCGGAGGUCUCAUACCUCUCGAUCCAGGCGUUCUUCUGAAAGAUAAACUUCAACACCUGGAACAUCUCAAAUGCUCCAUGACGCUCAAAGCGACGUUGAAGUCCCGGUUCUAAGCCAUACAAGACUGCACAUUGAACUAUUGAGUAGUCCUCCUUACGCGCUAACCAAGCGUUCUUAACAUCCUGAUCAGCCGUAGCGGGUGGUUCAUCUCCUAGCGCAGCAUCAAGGACAUAAUCCUUCUUCCCAGCUUGUAAGAUUAGCUUAAGAUUACGAGCCCAGUCUACAAAGUUGCUUCCAUCAUCUUUCAACUUAGCUUUCUCUAGGAACGUAUUAAAAUUCAGGAUGACACUUGCGUCAGCCAUGAUCUACAACACAAAUAUAUUCAAAGUGGACUUAGACUAUGUUCAAGAUAAUAAGAGUUUAACUUAAUCAAAUUAUAUGCUAAACUCCCACUCAAAAAGUACAUCUCUCUAGUCAUUUGAGUGGUUCAUGAUCCACUUACACUAUCCCAAGUCCGGUCAUCACGUGAGUUGAGUAUAGUUUCAGUGGUAAGCAUCCCUAUGCUAAUCAUAUCAACUAUAUGAUUCAUGAUCGACCUUUCGGUCUCAUGUGUUCCGAGGCCAUGUCUGCACAUGCUAGGCUCGUCAAGCUUAACCCGAGUGUUCCGCGUGCGCAACUGUUUUGCACCCGUUGUAUGUGAACGUUGAGUCUAUCACACCCGAUCAUCACGUGGUGUCUCGAAACGACGAACUGUAGCAACGGUGCACAGUCGGGGAGAACACAAUUUCGUCUUGAAAUUUUAGUGAGAGAUCACCUCAUAAUGCUACCGUCGUUCUAAGCAAAAUAAGGUGCAUAAAAGGAUUAACAUCACAUGCAAUUCAUAAGUGACAUGAUAUGGCCAUCAUCACGUGCUUCUUGAUCUCCAUCACCAAAGCACCGGCACGAUCUUCUUGUCACCGGCGCCACACCAUGAUCAUCCAUCAACAUGUUGACAUCGGGGUUGUCGUGCUACUUAUGCUAUUACUACUAAAGCUACAUCCUAGCAAAAUAGUAAACGCAUCUGCAAGCACAAACGUUAGUAUAAAGACAACCCUAUGGCUCCUGCCGGUUGCCGUACCAUCGACGUGCAAGUCGAUAUUUCUAUUACAACAUGAUCAUCUCAUACAUCCAAUAUAUCACAUCACAUCAUUGGCCAUAUCACAUCACAAUCAUACCCUGCAAAAACAAGUUAGACGUCCUCCAAUUUUGUUGUUGCAUGUUUUACGUGGUGACCAAGGGUAUCUAGUAGGAUCGCAUCUUACUUACGCAAACACCACAACGGAGAUAUAUGAGUUGCUAUUUAACCUCAUCCAAGGACCUCCUCGGUCAAAUCCGAUUCAACUAAAGUUGGAGAAACCGUCACUUGCCAGUCAUCUUUGAGCAAAGGGGGUUACUCGUAACGAUGAAACCAGUCUCUCGUAAGCGUACGAGUAAUGUCGGUCCAAGCCGCUUCAAUCCAACAAUACCGCGGAAUCAAGAAAAGACUAAGGAGGGCAGCAAAACGCACAUCACCGCCCACAAAAACUUUUGUGUUCUACUCGAGAAGACAUCUACGCAUGAACCUAGCUCAUGGUGCCACUGUUGGGGAACGUCGCGUGGGAAACAAAAAAUUUCCUACGCGCACGAAGACCUAUCAUGGUGAUGUCCAUCUAUGAGAGGGGAUGAGUGAUCUACGUACCCUUGUAGAUCGUACAGCAGAAGCGUUAGAGAACGCGAUUGAUGUAGUGGAACGUCCUCACGUCCCUCGAUCCGCCCCGCGAACAAUCCCGCGAUCAGUCCCACGAUCUAGUACCGAACGGACGGCACCUCCGCAUUCAGCACACGUACAGCUCGACGAUGAUCUCGGCCUUCUUGAUCCAGCAAGAGAGACGGAGAGGUAGAAGAGUUCUCCGGCAGCGUGACGGCGCUCCGGAGGUUGGUGAUGAUCUUGUCUCAGCAGGGCUCCGCCCGAGCUCCGCAGAAACGCGAUCUAGAGGAAAAACUAUGGAGGUAUGUGGUCGGGCAGCCGUGAGAAAGUCGUCUCAAAUCAGCCCUAAUUGCUCCAUAUAUAUAGGAGGAGGGAGGGGGGGCCUUGCCUUGGGGGUCCAAGGACCCCCAAGGAGUCGGCCGAGCCAAGGGGGGGAGGACUCCCCCCCCCCAAACCGAGUUGGACUUGGUUUGGUGGGAGGAGUCCCCCUCCCUUCCCACUUCCUCCCUCUUUUUUUUCUCUUUUCCUUUGAUUUCUUAUUCUUGGCGCAUAGGCCCCCUUGGGGCUGUCCCACCAGCCCACUAAGGGCUGGUGUGUCUCCCCAAAGCCUAUGGGCUUCCCCAGGGUGGGUUGCCCCCCCCCCCCGGUGAACUCCCGGAACCCAUUCGUCAUUCCCGGUACAUUCCCGGUAACUCCGAAAACCUUCCGGUAAUCAAAUGAGGUCAUCCUAUAUAUCAAUCUUCGUUUCCGGACCAUUCCGGAAACCCUCGUGACGUCCGUGAUCUCAUCCGGGACUCCGAACAACAUUCGGUAACCAACCAUAUAACUCAAAUACGCAUAAAACAACGUCGAACCUUAAGUGUGCAGACCCUGCGGGUUCGAGAACUAUGUAGACAUGACCCGAGAGACUCCUCGGUCAAUAUCCAACAGCGGGACCUGGAUGCCCAUAUUGGAUCCUACAUAUUCUACGAAGAUCUUAUCGUUUGAACCUCAGUGCCAAGGAUUCGUAUAAUCCCGUAUGUGAUUCCCUUUGUCCUUCGGUACGUUACUUGCCCGAGAUUCGAUCGUCAGUAUCCGCAUACCUAUUUCAAUCUCGUUUACCGACAAGUCUCUUUACUCGUUCCGUAAUACAAGAUCCCGCAACUUACACUAAGUUACAUUGCUUGCAAGGCUUGUGUGUGAUGUUGUAUUACCGAGUGGGCCCUGAGAUACCUCUCCGUCAUACGGAGUGACAAAUCCCAGUCUUGAUCCAUACUAACUCAACUAACACCUUUGGUGAUACCUGUAGAGCAUCUUUAUAGUCACCCAGUUACGUUGCGACGUUUGAUACACACAAAGCAUUCCUCCGGUGUCAGUGAGUUAUAUGAUCUCAUGGUCAUAGGAAUAAAUACUUGACACGCAGAAAACAGUAGCAACAAAAUGACACGAUCAACAUGCUACGUCUAUUAGUUUGGGUCUAGUCCAUCACGUGAUUCUCCUAAUGACAUGAUCCAGUUAGCAAGAAACAACAUCUUGUUCAUAAUCAGAAGGCACUGACUAUCUUUGAUCAACCAGCUAGCCAACUAGAGGCUUGCUAGGGACGGUGUUUUGUCUAUGUAUCCACACAUGUAAAUGAGUCUUCAUUCAAUUAAAUUAUAGCAUGGAUAAUAAACGAUUACCUUGAUACAGGAAUUAUAAUAAUAACUAUAUUUAUUAUUGCCUCUAGGGCAUAAUUCCAACAGUGACACCCUUCGGCCUCUUUAGUUCUCUCCCGGGUGAGUGACCCCUUGAUACGUCUCCAUCGUAUCUACUUUUCCAAACUCUUUUGCCCUUGUUUUGGACUCUAAUUUGCAUGAUUUGAAUGGAACUAACCUGGACUGACGCUGUUUUCAGCAGAAUUGCCUUGGUGUUAUUUUUGUGCAGAAAUCAAAGUUCUCCAACGUCCUGAAAAUCUACGGGGAGUAGUUUUGGAAAAUAUAAAAAAUAUCUGCGCCAAGUUCCACCUGAGGGGGUGGGCCAGUGGGCCACAAGCCCUGGCUCCGCCACCACCCCCCUGGUGGAGGUGGGCAGGCUUGUGGGGCCCUCACGGCUCUGCCGCCCCCAACCUCAGGUCUAUAAGUUCACUUUCGUCCCAGAAAAAAUAAAAAGAGAGGUUUUCGUCGCGUUUGCGAUACGGAGGCGCCGCCACCACCUGUUCUUCAUCUGGAGGGCAGAUCUGGAGUCCGUCUUGGGCUCCGGAGAGGGGAAAUCGUCGCCAUCGUCAUCAUCAACCUUCUUCCCUCUCCAAUUCCACGAAGCUCUUCAUCGUUCGUGAGUAAUCUAUUCGUAGGCUCGCUGGGCGGUGAUGAGUAGGAUGAUAUCUAUCAUGUAAUCGAGUUAGUUUUGAUGGGGAUUGAUCCCUAGUAUCCACUAUGUUUUGAGGUUGAUGUUGCUACUACUUUGCCAUGCUUAAUGCUUGUCACUAGGGCCCGAGUGCCAUGAUUUCAGAUCUGAAAUUAUUAUGUUGUCACCAAUAUAUGUGUGUUUUAGAUCCGAUCUUGGAAGUUGUAGUUACCUACUAUGUGUUAUGAUCCGGCAACCCCGGAGUGACAAUAACCGGAACCACUCCCGGUGAUGACCAUAGUUUGAGGAGUUCAUGUGUUCACCAAGUGCUAAUGCAUUGGUCCGGUUCUUUAUUAAAAGGAGAACCUUAAUGUCCCGUAGUUUCCUUUUGGACCCCGCUGCCACGGGAGGGAUGGACAAUAGAUGCAAUGCAAGUUCUUUUCCCUAAGCACGUAUGACGACACACGGAAUGCAUGCCUACAUCACAUUGACGAACGAGAGCUAGCCACAUAUCUCUCCGUGUGUAGUGCCCCAAGUGUAAAGCUUUCCCUUUUUGUAACCUUCCAUGUGGGACCACCUUGACAUUGUCAUGAGAGCUAUCUAUGCAUGUAUGAAUUCAUGUGUUCACCUUGUAUUUCUUCUUUUGCAUGCAUGCAUCCAUGCCAUACCAUUCUUACCAUGCCUUGUUUUGCUUGCAUCUAUACCUUGCCAUGUCAUAGAGUGGAGACUUGUGAUUUCAUGUGUUGAUGCACAUGUGAUGAUGGUGUGUGGAGUGUAAGAGUGGUUGCUAGGUAUUUUCAAAGUUCCUUGCAAUUCAAACCCUUUUUCUUCCUUUUACCUCAUGUUCAAAAUUACAUCUUCCCAAAAGCUGUUCUAAAAUGUCUUGUGAUUAGGGUUUAUUGUGGGAAUGAUGAUGUGUGUAUUUGCUGUAUUGUAUCUUGAUUUCAAGGGUGCAAAUAAACCCAAAACAGUAAAUUAAUUACUGUUUUGCAUUUAUUCCAAAUUGCUCCAAAUAUUGUUUUUCUAUUUUAUUCAAAUAGGCCAUAAUUCCUUAUGGCCACGGGCAUUUUUGCUUUGAUUUUAACCCCAACAGAACUGCCAGUGGAUUUAAGUCCUAGCUGUGUUUAUUUAAAGAAAGUUCAAAACCCUCUCAGCCCCUCUCCUCUAACUGACGCCGGUGGCAAGCAAACCAGCGCGGCCCAGCCCACUCCUUCCCAGCUCACACACGCGGGCGUCGUCCUCCUCCCCUUUCCAGCGAGGCAGGCGGCCCCACAAGUUAGCCUCUCACCUCGCUCCUCUCUGCUUUCCACCGAAGCUCCCCGCACGCACAUGGCAGCGCCGCGAUCCUCACCUCUCCUUCCCUCUAUUUAACCCCCCUUGGCGUCUGUGCAUCCGUGUUAGGGUUCCUCCCCGCCGCCGCAACGCCCAGAUCCCGAUCCACCUCUCUCUCUCUCGCCGCAACAAGUGAGGACCGCACGGGAUCGCCAUGGCCGACGGGUAGCAGCUCGCCGUCGCCAUCGAUCUACUUCCCCUGCUUCCUCUACGACGACGCCAACAGCUCGAGGGUGCCUCCAGGAGCCCGUUCCCGGCGCAAGACCGACCUCCCCCGCGCUACGUCCACUGCCUCCCGGCGGCGCGUCCCCUCCGACGAGAAGCCUCCCCGACGGUCUUCCUCCUCUACUUCCUCUACGAGCCGAUCCUCUCCUUGACUCGUACACGAGGUAGCGCUUCUCCUCCCUCCUCCCUGUCCCAGAUCGGGUGCGGUAACCGUAGGUUGUCACGCGCUUGCUCUCUGUCGCCGGCACCGCCGCUCGCCGUCGCUGUGCCGUAGUAGGGCCGCUCGGGUGCAGCUAGCACAUGAAAUGGACCCGUGCGUGUGUGGGCUUACUCCCCCCCACGGGCCGUUGCUCGAUUUGUACCACGUCGCUGGCGAGGGCCUUCCCCUAUUUCGGUUCGUCGCCGACAGUAGAUCAGCAGAGGGAUGCUCCUUCAGAUGUUUUGUAGCGUGUAUUAUUUCAGACUCCGUAGCGUAGCCAAGUGGUUUGAUCCCUGUUGUGCCUGAUGCAGGUGCUGGGUUCGAUCCCUCCCCGCGGCACCUUUUUGUUUCUCGAAUUAUCAGCACAGUUUACUGCAGGGAUGGCCUCACCUUGCUUGAACCCUCUGUUUUGUCGAAUAGUUGACAGUAGCAGAGUGGUAGAGGGUAGUUUGUGGCAUCAGAGGGUACUGGGUUCGAAUCCCAGGUGCCCCUGUUGUAUUUUUACCAUUCCUUUUAUUUCUUUUGCUUGUCCUACCAUAUUUGUGCCUAACCCAUAGGCAUUAAAGUGGACCAGAGGCAGGAUCUUUGGUUGUGUGUGUGUGUGCACACACUUGUGAUAGUGCAAGUGAUGUGUGUAUGUGUUUAUGUGGCUUAGUUGAAAAGUGGCUCAUGUGAUCUUGCUAGUGUGUUUGGGUGUGUAGUACUUGCAAAGUAUGUGCAUUGUGGAAUAGGUGAGAUGUGUGUGUUGAGGUGAUGUGUGUGUAAGUAGGGUACACAUAUGUGGUACCUAGCAGGAGUGUAUGUAUGUGUGGAUCCAUGUUUACUUGCAUAGCAGUUGUUCCUUCAUGUUGUGCUUGAGAUUAAGUGCUUGUGAUGAGGGUAUUGUGAUGAUAUGUGUGUGGUGAUAACAGCCCCAUUUUCAACACUUGUGCACCUCCUCAUGUUCAUAUGAGAGAGGACAUGAUGUGUGUGUGUGUGAGGGUGAUCUAGUGAAAGUUGUGCUAGUGGUGUUGAUAUGCAUAACACAUACAUGGGGUUCAAACCCCCAUGUCACUUUUUCAUUGUGCACAUGAGCUCAACCUUUGUAGUUGUUGACUUAGUAGGAACUACAUGAAAUGAUGCCCAUUCCCUAGGCAUGAUUUGGAGUAGUUUCCUCUCCCUUAUUUUGUGGUCACUUGUUCCAAGUAAGUGCCCACAUAUUAUAUAUGAUUUUGGGGUAGAAUCUCCCAAGGAAUCCAGUGGUGAAGUUAGUUUUUCCAUUACGAUACUUUAUGGAGUUGACAUAUUCAGAUUUGUUGCAAGUUUGAUCUUUGAUUCCAUGGAAUAGGUGGAGCCCAAGGGCAUGAGUUUUUGUGUGAUAGUAGUAGGGGUUUUGCUCUACACCAUAGUGGUUUCAUAUAUCACUUGGUGUUACUUGUGUGCAAACUAUGCCUAGACAAAGUGGGCAUGUGGUUGAAAAUUCCAGUUUAGUGAAAUCUGGAAUUUCACUAAGUCUGGGAUUCUGGAAACAUUUUCUUCUCUUAUAGAUGAGGAUGUGCUGGUCAUUGUGUUGAGAUAUAGCCUUAGUUCAGUGCUAGGAUUUUGGACCUGAUAUGUUUGUGAUGCUUCCUGUCAAAUUUCAAAUCAUUUCGAGUCCAGUAGGUUGUGUUUUGAUUGCUGUCAAAAAGCUUCAGAACAAAGACAGAAAUUCAGGUGCAGGAAUUUUCACCAAGUCCCUGAGAUCUGAUGGUUUUGGGGAAGUUUGUGGCCUUGUAUAUUAAUUCCUUUUGCUGUGAUUCUUGCUGGUGCUUGUAGGGUUCUUAGUGGGCUACAGCCACAUAUAUUAUUUGACAUAUUUGGUGGCCUGUAGCUAUGUUGCAUGUAGCUCACAAAGUGCUAAUAUGCAGUUUAUGGCAGAUUAUGUAGUUUUGUCAUUUUGAUGAUUGUGUGUGCUUAGUGGAUGUGGUGGUGCUCUUCCUUGCUCCAAUCCAUUCAUGUGGGAGUGGUACAUGUCUUGGCAACCUGGGAAUACCAGAUUUGUGCCAAUUGUGAGUGUGGUGUUGAUUCUUACACGUAGAGCUUCAUAUCUUGUUUCGUUGAUUCCCGUUGAACCGUAGCUCCGUUCGCAAUGUUCUUUAUAUGUUUUUGCAUAGUUUUCACGAGACGCAUCUCUUCAUGCCAUUCUCAUGCAUGUAAAAAUAUCCUAGUUUACAGUUCUGUCCAGAAACUUAUAGUAGUUCUUUUGCUUGUGCUAGUGAUAGAAAUAGUGAUGCAUGCUCAUUUUUCAUCUCAUGCAUCAUGUGAUUGUUGCAUCUUGUGGUGCUGCUGUUCAUUGGCUGUUAUUCUUAUGUUGGGUAGCACCGGGAUCGGAGAACGAAUACGUGGAGUCAGGAGAGUACGUGCAGGACGAUCCAGGACCAUUCCAAGCUGAGGAUAUCACAUGCAAGAUGAUAUGACCUUGAUUCCAUCUCUAGACUUGUUAUGCUAGUUUCGUUUACUUGUCAUAUUGCUUGCUGCCUACCACUGAAAUUAAAUUGCCUCUUCAUAUGCCAUGAGCCCAAACACUGUUCCCCUUCCUAGCAAAACUUGUAUGGCUAAGUAGGCUUUGCUCAGCUACUAAUGUUAGCGUUGCUAGAUGCAGGUCCUUUGACUCAUUUGAUAACAUGAGCUUUGAUAUACUUAUCUUAAAUUCUGUUAAUUAAUGAAUGCACCUAUAUACUUGGUAAAUGACGGGAGGCCUAGCCUUUUGCCGGGUGCUUUGUUCCGUUAUUGCCGCCUUAGUUACCGGUUACCGGUGUUUGAUUCCAUAAUGAUCGCUCCUAACACGUUCGGGGUUGUUAUGGGGACCCCCUUGAUAAAUCGCCUAGUGCUACGGCUUGUCCGGCAGGACCCAACAUUGGUUUUAAUCUGCUAAUCACACAAUAAUCCACAUAGGGAAUAGCUACCCCGAGGAAUUUAAUCAACAACCUGGGCUAGUGCUCCUCACGAGUGUUGGCCCCACCUGAGCGAUGUCCGGGGCCCCACUGGUCACCCAGAGGUUUAGCCAUCCCGACGUCUAGCUCAUCCUCGUGUCCUGAGACUGAGAUACGUGGCUCUUAUCAGGGUCGUCGACACGAUGGGAGGUCCUGCUAGCCUUGUCUUACCUUAGCGGUAUAUCUUGCGUAUAGGAAUCCGAGUGAAGCUUUGGUUUCCCCCAGAGUUGAGGUUUUCCUCUAAGGAAUCCGACAAGAUCAUGAGAUUCGUGAUAGAGGAUGCCUUUGCGGCAUGUGUUUGUUUAUGAUGGACUAGUUGGAGCACCCCUACAGGGUUUAAUCUUUCGGAAAGCCGUGCCCGCGGUUAUGUGGCAACUUGGAAUAUUUUGUUAACAUCCGGUAUUAGAGAACUUGAACAUAAGCUAAUAAAAUUGCCAACUGUGUGCAUACCCGUGACAGUCCCCUCGAAGAUCCCUCUUCGAUCGGGAACACGGUGGGGUUAUGAAUGCCGUAGGUAGGUGGUCAGGAUCACUUAGUGAUCAAGUAUUCCCGACCGCUAGUGUAGACCACCUUCACAAUUACUUCGCGUAAGUUAGCCACUUAAUCAAGCUUAGGAUGCUGCAGCCUUAUACACUUCACCCUUACCCUACCUAAUAACAUGACUAGUUCUGGCACCAAGGUCUUAGAUUGCUGAGUCCCCGUGGCUCACGGAUUCCUCCGAAACUCCCAGCAGGUACAGGUACCCCAGAUAUAGAUGAUCCCGACGGCACCCAGCUGGCGUGGCAGUACGACGAGGAGACAGACCGCCUCUACGUGACCUAUCCAGGGGACUGAGGCGUGGUCGUGAUCGUGGGCCUGCAGGCAGGGUAGCAUAGCAUUUCCAUGUUUUGUAGUCCGUAGCGGAACUACCUUGAUUGUAUCUGUGAUGUACUCUGAGUUAUUAAUAAGAAGACAGUUGAAUCCCGAAUUGUCUACUUUUAUUGUUAUUUGUGCUAUGUUACUUGCUUGCGAAAUGCUUAGAUGCGUUUCUUUCCUAUUCGGGGGCCUCGACCCCCAGAUCGGAAAGGACCGCAUCUUGGUCGUUACAAGUUGGUAUCAAAGCCUUACGACCAUAGGAGCUUUUGUGUGAUCGUACUUGGCCAAGUUGAGUCUAGAAAAUGUUUUGAGUCUUAGUUAUAUCGGAGAGUAGGAUCUUUUUUCUCCUCUUCUAUGCUCUGGUGAGGUUCCCGUCUUAGGAAAUCUUUAACUCUACUCCUUUUCUCGCUCAAAUUUUUUUUUAGGAUCACGCGGGUAUUUGUGAAAUCUAUAUGAUUUUGAUGUGACGGAAUCCUGUCCUGGUGCCUCCUAUCUGCUCUAAGUGUCAGGGGAGUUGAGCUCCAGGGAUUCUUGCGCACAUUGCCAUCAUUCAGAUUUCUGAGUAUCUAAGAAGAGAGGGUGUUCGUUAUUGCUUCAAUACGGGUAGUGGUGAGAUAACCCCGAUGUCCCCAGUACCGGUGUAGAUUGUUCGGGGGUAUUACCACACUUUGUAUCGUUGUGAUCACGAGGAUCUAUUGUAGAUGAAGGUCCGAGAUGCUGGUUGUGUGUUGAAGGAUGUGAUACAGGUGACGAGUUAGUUUAGGAGUUGUGUGAAAUACUCCUUGUAUCCGUGUACCUGAUUGCAUGACCAGUUAUUUCGAGAAUUCAUAGGUGGGAUAUCUAGUAGUAUCUUAUAGGACUAUCUUCCUACAGACGCUUGAUUGAUGUUUGGGAAAUCUCAGUCAUAUGUUUGUUCCGAGCAGUUCUAGCUCACACUUGUUUGAAGUGGUCCUUAUCGGAAUUUUGUCGUCUGUUACUUUGAGGAUGCACUCUUGCUAUGUUGUUCGAGUGCAAUGCUAAAUUCUGUUCAGAUAUUCCUGUCUUUUGAUUUAGCAAUAUCUUCAAUUAUUCUGUGGACUAAUAUGCUGUCCGUCUUCAGGAUGGCUCCACCGACUCGUCAGACCCCAGGGCGUGAGGAUAUGUCGCCUCCACCUCCUCAUCCUCCUCCUCCGCCGCCUCCUCCUGCAGAGGCCUGGUAGGCGAUGAUGGCAGCUACUAAUGCAAACACUCAGAUGCUGUUGCAGUUGAUCCAGGAGAGAGCCAAUCAUCAGCAGGGCAAUUUUCAGCAGGGUGGCAAUCACUUCGCCAAUCUGAGUCAGUUCCUGUCAAACCAGCCUAAGACGUUCACUUCUUGCGACCAGCCGUUUGAUGCAGAAGAUUGGAUCCGUGAUAUGAACAAGCAUUUCGAGUGUAGCAAUGUGCGUCCGGAGGACUAUGUCAAGUUUGCUACGUUUUAGUUGAAGGGGCAGGCUUCUAUUUGGUGGCAGCAGCUUAAGGACUCUAGAGGUGACAUGGUGAUGUCUUGGGACGAGUUUUGUCGUGACUUCAGAUCCCACUACACCCCUUCCAGUUUUGUUGAGGAGAUGCGUGAGAAGUUCAGGCGUUUGAAGCAGGGCAGCAAUUCUAUGUACAAGUACAAUGUCGAGUUCCACGAGCUGGCCCGUUACGCGCUGCAGGAUGUCCCGGAUCAGAAGAGCAAGAUCUACCAGUUCAGGGGUGGUUUAAAGGAGGAUUUGCAGUUAGCGCUUGCUUUGCACGAUCCAGAGGAGUUUGACAAGUUCUACAACUUAGCUCUCCGAGCAGAGGCAGCCUUGCUCAGGGUGGAAACCUCAAAGAAACGCUUCAGAGAUUCCAGCUCUUCCUCGACUCAGGUGGUUCAGAAGCAACAGAGGUUUUGGGUUUCUCCUCCUCCUCGGCACUCACAGCAGCUGAAGCACUCAGGUGGACGUGGUUCUUCCUGUUGGAACUAUGCCCUAGAGGCAAUAAUAAAUUAGUUAUUAUUAUAUUUCUUUGUUCAUGAUAAUCGUUUAUUAUCCAUGCUAUAAUUGUAUCGAUUGGAAACACAAUACUUGUGUGGAUACAUAGACAAAACACUGUCCCUAGUAAGCCUCUAGUUGACUAGCUCGUUGAUCAAAGAUGGCCAAGGUUUCCUGGCCAUAGGCAAGUGUUGUUACUUGAUAACGGGAUCACAUCAUUAGGAGAAUCAUGUGAUGGACUGGACCCAAACUAAUAGACGUAGCAUGUUGAUCGUGUCAUUUUGUUGCUACUGUUUUCUGCGUGUCAAGUAUUCGUUCCUAUGACCAUGAGAUCAUAUAACUCACUGACACCGGAGGAAUGCUUUGUGUGUAUCAAACGUCGCAAUGUAACUGGGUGACUAUAAAGAUGCUCUACAGGUAUCUCCGAAGGUGUUAGUUGAGUUAGUAUGGAUCGAGACUGGGAUUUGUCACUCCGUGUGACGGAGAGGUAUCUCGGGGCCCACUCGGUAAUACAACAUCAUACACAAGCCUUGCAAGUAAUGUGACUUAGUGUAAGUUGCGGAUCUUGUAUUACGGAACGAGUAAAGAGACUUGCCGGCAAAUGAGAUUGAAAUAGGUAUGCGGAUACUGAUGAUCGAAUCUCGGGCAAGUAACAUACCGAAGGACAAAGGGAAUGACAUACGGGAUUAUAUGAAUCCUUGGCACUAAGGUUCAAACGAUAAGAUCUUCGUAGAAUAUGUAGGAUCCAAUAUGGGCAUCCAGGUCCCGCUAUUGGAUAUUGACCGAGGAGUCUCUCGGGUGAUGUCUACAUAGUUCCUGAACCCGUAGGGUCUGCACACUUAAGGUUCGACAUUGUUUUAUGCGUAUUUGAGUUAUAUGGUUGGUUACCGAAUGUUGUUCGGAGUCCCGGAUGAGAUCACGGAUGUCACGAGGGUUUUCGGAAUGGUCCGGAAACGAAGAUUGAUAUAUAGGAUGACCUCAUUUGAUUACCGGAAGGUUUUCGGAGUUACCGGGAAUGUACCGGGAAUGACGAAUGGGUUCCGGGUGUUCACCGGGGGGGGGGGGCAACCCACCCCGGGGAAGCCCAUAGGCCUUGGGGGUGGCGCACCAGCCCUUAGUGGGCUGGUGGGACAGCCCAAGAAGGCCCUAUGCGCCAUAGGAAGAAAAUCAAAGAGAAAAGAAAAAAAAAGAGCAGGUGGGAAAAGGGGGAAGGACUCCUCCUUCCAAACCUAGUUGGACUCGGUUUGGAAGGGGAGGGUUGCCCCCCUUGGCUCGGCCGACCCCCUUGGGAGUCCUUGGACCCCAAGGCAAGGCUCCCCCUCCUCCCCCUAUAUAUACGCAGGUUUUAGGGCUGAUUUGAGACAACUUUGCCACGACAGCCCGACCACAUAUCUCCACGGUUUCACCUCUAGAUCGCGUUUCUGCGGAGCUCGGGCGGAGCCCUGUGAGAUAAGAUCACCACCAACCUCCGUAGCUCCGUCACGCUGGCGGAGAACUCAUCUACCUCUCCAUCACUCUUGCUGGAUCAAGAAGGCCGAGAUCAUCGUCGAGCUGUACGUGUGCUGAACGCGGAGGUGCCGUCCGUUCGGCACUAGAUCGUGGGACUGAUCGCGGGACGGUUCGCGGGGCGGAUCGAGGGACAUGAGGACGUUCCACUACAUCAACUGUGUUCACUAAUGCUUCUGCUGUGCGGUCUACAAGGGUACCUAGAUCGAACAUCCCCUCUCGUAGAUGGACAUCACCAUGAUAGGUCUUCGUGCGCGUAGGAAAUUUUUUGUUUCCCAUGCGACGUUCCCCAACAGUUCCCACCCACCCAACCCUGGCUUCCAGCAGAGAUACCAGCAUUAGAAGCAAGGGACUCCUCAGUCUCAGUUCCAGCAGCCAGUAGAUGUCACUUGUCACUAAUGUGGGCAGAAGGGUCACUAUGCCAACAAAUGCACUUCUCAGCUCCGUCUGCCUCCUCCUCCUCUAGGCAAACUUCCAAGCAACGCUCUUGUCAAAUUCAACCCCAGAUCAUCUCGAGUCAACAUGGUGAAUGCAGUUGAAGCAGACAACUCCUCUGAUGUGAUCAUGGGUAACCUCCUCGUCAAUGAUAUUACUGCUAAAGUGUUAUUUGAUUCUGGUGCUUCGCAUUCGUUCCUCUCGAUUCCAUUUGCAUCCAAGCAUAAUGUUCUUGUUGAAGAGCUUCCUAGUCCUUUGGCAGUAGUUUCACCAGGCAAGUUCAUGCAUGCUAGUACUCGUGCUCCCGUUGUUUCUAUCAAGAUGGGCAAUUAUUCUUUUCUGGCCUCUCCGUAUGUCUUGGGCAAGUCCGACAUCGACUUGAUUCUUGGUAUGGACUGGUUGGCCAUGAACAAGGCAUCAAUUGAUUGUGAAGCUAAAGAAGUCAAGCUUACUCACUCUUUGGAGGAUGUGAUUAUAUUCGCGGCGCGCGAUGAUACAAUCCGUUUGUUCUCCUUGAAUGAAAAGGGUGAGAUCAAUCCUAUUGAGCAAGUUCCAGUAGUCUGCGAAUAUCAAGAUGUGUUUCCUGAAGAGCUGCCAGGCAUGCCUCCGCACCGUGAAGUUGAGUUCGUCAUUGAGCUUAAGCCAGGCACAGAGCCAGUGUGCAAACGGCCGUACAAGCUGGGUCCAGAAGAGUUGAAGGAACUCAAGAGGCAACUCGAUGAGCAGGAGCGUUAGGGUUUGAUGAGACCAAGCUCGUCUCCGUGGGGAUGUGGUGUUCUAUUUUUCAAGAAGAAGGAUGGUUCGGACCGGCUGUGUGUCGAUUACCGCCCAUUGAACAAGAAGACAAUCAAGAACAAAUAUCCACUUCCGAACAUAACUGAGUUGUUCGAACAGUUGAAAGGUGCUAAAGUAUUGUCCAAGCUUGAUCUCAGAAUGGGCUAUCAUCAGAUUCGCAUUCGCGAGGAAGACAUUCCGAAGACGGCCUUCAGGACUAGUUUUGGCUCGUAUGAGUAUACGGUCAUGUCUUUUGGUCUGGCUAAUGCUCCUCCGACUUUUUGUCGAUUGAUGAACUAUAUUUUCUCACCAUACAAGAAUGAAUUUGUCUUGCUCUAUCUCGACGACAUUCUGGUCUUUUCUGAGGAUGAGGAAGAACAUGAGAGACAUCUCAGGUUGGUGCUUGAUAAACUGAGAGAAUACAAGCUGUAUGCCAAGUUUUCCAAGUGCGAGUUCUGGCUGAAAGAAGUGGUUUAUCUUGGGCAUAUUAUCUCUACCGAGGGCAUUAAGGUUGACCCAUCCAAGGCUCAAGCCAUUGUUGACUGGGAACCUCCGCAGAAUGUGAAGCAGCUUCGAAGCUUUCUCGGGCUUGCCGAAUAUUGCAGAAGAUUCGUUGAGAACUUCUCCAAAAUCGCCAAGCCGCUCUCUAGUCUUCUUCAGAAGGGUGUCAAGUAUGUUUGGUCUCCAGAAUGUCAACUGGCUUUCGAUACACUCAAAGAGAAGCUUAUCUCCACUCCGUUAUUGGCCCCUCCGGAUGAUUCCAAGCCGUACCAGGUCUUUUGCGACGCAUCUCUCCAGGGUCUUGGUGCAGUCUUGAUGCAAGAUAGGAAGGUGGUUGCUUAUACCUCCAGGCAGCUGAAGCCUGCGGGGAAGAACUAUCCUGUGCAUGAUCUCGAGCUAGCAGCUGUUGUGCACGCCUUGAUGACUCGGAGACAUCUCUUGUUGGAACGUAAGGUUGAAGUUUUCACCGAUCACAAGAGUCUCAAGUAUAUCUUCACUCAGCCUAACUUGAAUCUUCGGCAAACACGUUGGGUGGAAAUGCUCCAGGAUUUUAAUCCGAGUGUUGAGUACACGCCAGGCAAGGCAAAUGUUGUGGCAAAUGCAUUGAGCAGGAAGGCAUAUUGCAACAGUCUGAUUCUGCAACCUCUCCAGCCGGGUCUUUCUGAGUCUUUCAGGAAGCUCAAUCUUCAGCUAGUUCCUCAGGGUUUUCUUGCGAACCUUUAGAUCUCUCCUACCUUGGAAGAUCAGGUCAGAGCAGCUCAGCUACUUGACGCUAUGGUGAAAAAGGUCAAGAUUGGCAUGGGAAAGAGUCUCCCCAAGUAUAAGUGUUUCACUGUUGAUGCCAGGGACACAUUGUUUUUCGAGGAUCGCCUUGUCGUCCCGAAAGGUGAUCUCAGGAAGGUGAUCAUGGAAGAAGCUCAUAACUCUCUGCUCUCUAUUCAUCCUGGAAGUUCCAAAAUGUACCAUGACUUGAAGCAGACUUUCUGGUGGACUCGUAUGAAACGCGAAAUUGCACAAUUCGUAAACGAGUGUGAUGUAUGUCGAAGGGUGAAAGCAGAACAUCAAAGACCAGCAGGCCUCUUGCAGCCUUUGCCGAUUCCCGAGUGGAAGUUUGAUCACAUUGAGAUGGAUUUCGUCACCGGGUUUCCGAAGUCCAAGAAGGGCAAUGAUGCUAUCUUCGUCGUCAUCGACAAAUUGAGUAAAGGUCCUCAUUUCCUUCCAGUCAAGGAGUCCAUUUCAGCAGCUCAGUUGGCAGAGUUGUACACCUCCAGUAUUGUCUCUUUGCACGGUGUACCUAUGAUGAUGUCGUCAGAUCGCGGAAGUAUCUUCACUUCCAAGUUCUGGGACUCCUUUCAGUCUGCUAUGGGCACGAAGAUUCGCUUCAGCACAACGUUCCAUCCUCAGACUAGUGGUCAAGUGGAGAGAGUGAAUCAAGUUCUUAAGGACAUGCUGAGAGCCUGUGUUAUCUCUUUUGGCAUAAAGUGGGAAGAUUGUCUGCCUUUCGCGGAGUUCUCGUAUAACAAUAGUUAUCAAGCUAGUUCUGGAUAGGCUUCGUUUGAAAUUCUCUAUGGCAGGAAGUGUCGUACUCCGCUCAACUGGUCCCAGACAGGCGAGCGUCAGAUCCUUGGCAAUAAUAUGAUCGAAGAAGCUGAGGAGAUGUGUCGGAUCAUUCGCGACAACCUCAGAGCAGCGCAGUCCCAUCAGAAGAGCUAUUACGAUAGCAAGCACCGUGACAUGUCGUAUGACCUUGAUGACUUUGUCUAUCUCAAAGUGUCACCUAUGAAGGGUAUGCAGCGCUUUGGCCUCAAAGGCAAGCUUGCGCCUCGUUUCGUUGGUCCGUUCAGAGUGGUUGGCAAGAGGGGUGACCUUGCAUACCAGCUCGAGCUUCCGUCAACCUUUGCAAAUGUCCAUGAUGUGUUCCAUGUUUCUCAGCUUCGGAGGUGUUUCAAGACCCCCGAGCGGACUGUGCAUCUUCAAGAUAUCGACCUUCAGCCUGACCUUUCUUAUCGGCAUCCAGUUGCGGUUCUCGAGGCGACUGAGCGCAAGACCCGUAACAAGACUGUCAAGUUUCUCAAAGUGCAGUGGUCUCACCAUACCGAUAAAGAGGCUACGUGGGAACGCGAGGAUCACCUCUGUUCCGAAUUUCCCGAUUUCUUUCAGGCGUAGAUCUCGGGGCGAGAUCUUCUUUGUAGUGUGGGAGAAUUUGUAGUGCCGCAAGUGUAAAGCUUUCCCUUUUUGUAACCUUCCAUGUGGGACCACCUUGACAUUGUCAUGAGAGCUAUCUAUGCAUGUAUGAAUUCAUGUGUUCACCUUGUAUUUCUUCUUUUGCAUGCAUGCAUCCAUGCCAUACCAUUCUUACCAUGCCUUGUUUUGCUUGCAUCUAUACCUUGCCAUGUCAUAGAGUGGAGACUUGUGAUUUCAUGUGUUGAUGCACAUGUGAUGAUGGUGUGUGGAGUGUAAGAGUGGUUGCUAGGUAUUUUCAAAGUUCCUUGCAAUUCAAACCCUUUUCCUUCCUUUUACCUCAUGUUCAAAAUUACAUCUUCCCAAAAGCUGUUCUAAAAUGUCUUGUGAUUAGGGUUUAUUGUGGGAAUGAUGAUGUGUGUAUUUGCUGUAUUGUAUCUUGAUUUCAAGGGUGCAAAUAAACCCAAAACAGUAAAUUAAUUACUGUUUUGCAUUUAUUCCAAAUUGCUCCAAAUAUUGUUUUUCUAUUUUAUUCAAAUAGGCCAUAAUUCCUUAUGGCCAGGGGCAUUUUUGCUUUGAUUUUAACCCCAACAGAACUGCCAGUGGAUUUAAGUCCUAGCUGUGUUUAUUUAAAAAAAGUUCAAAACCCUCUCAGCCCCACUCCUCUAACUAACGCCGGUGGCAAGCAAACCAGCGCGGCCCAGCCCACUCCUUCCUAGCUCACGCACGCGAGCGUCGUCCUCCUCCCCUUUCCAGCGAGGCAGGCGGCCCCACAAGUCAGCCUCUCACCUCGCUCCUCUCUGCUUUCCACCGAAGCUCCCCGCACGCACAUGGCAGCGCCGCGAUCCUCACCUCUCCUUCCCUCUAUUUAACCCCCCUUGGCGUCCGUGCAUCCGUGUUAGGGUUCCUCCUCGCCGUCGCAACGCCCAGAUCCCGAUCCACCUCUCUCUCUCUCGCCGCAGCAAGUGAGGACCGCACGGGAUCGCCAUGGCCGACGGGUAGCAUCUCGCCGUCGCCAUCGAUCUACUUCCCCUGCUUCCUCUACGACGACGCCAACAGCUCGAGGGUGCCUCCAGGAGCCCGUUCCCGGCGCAAGACCGACCUCCCCCGCGCUACGUCCACUGCCUCCCGGCGGUGCAUCCCCUCCGACGAGAAGCCUCCCCGACGGUCUUCCUCCUCUACUUCCUCUACGAGCCGAUCCUCUCCUCGACUCGUACACGAGGUAGCGCUUCUCUUCCCUCCUCCCUGUCCCAGAUCGGGUGCGGUAGCCGUAGGUUGUCACGCGCUUGCUCUCUGUCGCCGGCGCCGCCGCUCGCCGUCGUUGCGCCAUAGUAGGGCCCCUCGGGUGCAGCUAGCACAUGAAAUGGACCCGUGCGUGUGUGGGCUUACUCCCCCCCACGAGCCGUUGCUCGAUUUGCACCACGUCGCCGGCGAGGGCCUUCCCCUGUUUUGGUUCAUCGCCGACAGUAGAUCAGCAGAGGGAGGCUCCUUCAGAUGUUUUGUAGCGUGUAUUAUUUCAGACUCCGUAGCGUAGCCCAGUGGUUUGAUCCCUGUUGUGCGUGAUGCAGGUGCUGGGUUCGAUCCUUCCCCGCGGCACCUUUUUGUUUCUCUGAAUUAUCAGCACAGUUUACUGCAGGGAUGGCCUCACCUUGCUUGAACCCUCUGUUUUGUCGAAUAGUUGACAGUAGCAGAGUGGUAGAGGGUAGUUUGUGGCAUCAGAGGGUACUGGGUUCGAAUCCCAGGUGCCCCUGUUGUAUUUUUACCCUUCCUUUUAUUUCUUUUGUUUGUCCUACCAUAUUUCUGCCUAACCCAUAGGCAUUAAAGUGGACCAUUUUGAUUUCUUCUCCUGCUGUGCAUAGAUAGAGGAAGGAUCUUUGGUUGUGUGUGUGUGUGUGUGUGCACACUUGUGAUAGUGCAAGUGAUGUGUGUAUGUGUUUAUGUGGCUUAGUUGAAAAGUGGCUCAUGUGAUCUUGCUAGUGUGUUUGGGUGUGUAGUACUUGCAAAGUAUGUGCAUUGUGGAAUAGGUGAGAUGUGUGUGUUGAGGUGAUGUGUGUGUAAGUAGUGCACACAUAUGUGGUACCUAGCAGGAGUGUAUGUAUGUGUGGAUCCAUGUUUACUUGCAUAGCAGUUGUUCCUUCAUGUUGUGCUUGAGAUUAAGUGCUUGUGAUGAGGGUAUUGUGAUGAUAUGUGUGUGGUGAUAACAGCCCCAUUUGCAACACUUGUGCACCUCCUCAUGUUGAUAUGAGAGAGGGCAUGAUGUGUGUGUGUGAGGGUGAUCUAGUGAAAGUUGUGCUAGUGGUGUUGAUGUGCAUAACACAUACAUGGGGUUCAAACCCCCAUGUCACUUUGUCAUUGUGCACAUGAGCUCAACCUUUGUAGUUGUUGACUUAGUAGGAACUACAUGAAAUGAUGCCCAUUCCCUAGGCAUGAUUUGGAGUAGUUUCCUCUCCCUUAAUUUGUGGUCACUUGUUCCAAGUAAGUGCCCACAUAUUAUAUAUGAUUUUGGGGUAGAAUCUCCCAAGGAAUCCAGUGGUGAAGUUAGUUUUGCCAUUAGGAUAAUUUCUGGAGUUGACAUAUUCAGAUUUAUUGCAAGUUUGAUCUUUGAUUCCAUGGAAUAGGUGGAGCCCAAGGGCAUGAGUUUUUGUGUGAUAGUAGUAGGGUUUUGCUCUACACCAUAGUGGUGUCAUAUAUCACUUGGUGUUACUUGUGUGCAAACUAUGCCUAGACAAAGUGGGCAUGUGGCUGAAAAUUCCAGUUUAGUGAAAUCUGGAAUUUCACAAAGUCUGGGAUUCUGGAAACAUUUUCUUCUCUUAUAGAUGAGGAUGUGCUGGUCAUUGUGUUGAGAUCUAGCCUUAGUUCAGUGCUAGGAUUUUGGACCUGAUAUGUUUUUUAAGUUCCCUGUCAAAUUUCAAAUCAUUUGGAGUCUAGUAGGUUGUGUUUUGAUUGCUGUCAAAAAGCUUCAGAACAAAGACAGAAAUUCAGGUGCAGGAAUUUUCACCAAGUCCCUGAGAUCUGAUGGUUUUGGGGAAGUUUGUGGCCUUGUAUAUUAAUUCCUUUUGCUGUGAUUCUUGCUGGUGCUUGUAGGGUUCUUGGUGGGAUACAGCCACUUAUAUUAUUUGACAUAUUUGGUGGCCUGUAGCUAUGUUGCAUGUAGCUCACAAAGUGCUAAGAUGCAGUUUAUGGCAGAUUAUGUAGUUUUGUCAUUUCUAUGAUUGUGUGUGCUUAGUGGAUGUGGUGGUGCUCUUACUUGCUCCAAUCCAUUCAUGUGGGAGUGGUACAUGUCUUGGCAACCUGGGAAUACCAGAUUUGUGCCAAUUGUGAGUGUGGUGUUGAUUCUUACACGUAGAGCUUCAUAUCUUGUUUCGUUGAUUCCCGUUGAACCGUAGCUCCGUUCACAAUGUUCUUUAUAUGUUUUUGCAUCGUUUUCACGAGACGCAUCUCUUCAUGCCAUUCUCAUGCAUGUCGAAAUAGCCUAGUGUAAAGUUCUGUCCAGAAACUUAUAGUAGUUCCUUUUGCUUGUGCUAGUGAUAGAAAUAGUGAUGCAUGCUCAUUUUUCAUCUCAUGCAUCAUGUGAUUGUUGCAUCUUGUAGUGCUGCUGUUCAUUGGCUGUUAUUCUUAUGUUGGGUAGCACCGGGAUCGGAGAACGAAUAUGUGGAGUCAGGAGAGUACGUGCAGGACAAUCCAGGACCAUUCCAAGCUGAGGAUAUCACAUGCAAGAUGAUAUGACCUUGAUUCCAUCUCUAGACUUGUUAUGCUAGUUUCGUUUACUUGUCAUAUUGCUCGCUGCCUACCACUGAAAUUAAAUUGCCUCUUCAUAUGCCAUGAGCCCAAACACUGUUCCCCUUCCUAGCAAAACUUGUAUGGCUAAGUAGGCUUUGCUCAGCUACUAAUGUUAGCGUUGCUAGAUGCAGGUGCUUUGACUCAUGUGAUAACAUGAGCUUUGAUAUCAUUAUCUUAAAUUCCGUUAAUUAAUGAAUGCACCUAUAUACUUGGUAAAUGACGGGAGGCCUAGCCUUUUGCCGGGUGCUUUGUUCCGUUAUUGCCGCCUUAGUUACCGGUUACCGGUGUUUGAUUCCAUAAUGAUCGCUCCUAACACGUUCGGGGUUGUUAUGGGGACCCCCUUGAUAAAUCGCGUAGUGCUAAGGCUUGUCCGGCAGGACCCAACAUUGGUUUUAAUCUGCUCACAUAAUAAUCUGCAUAGGGAAUAGCUACCCCGAGGAAUUUAAUCAACAACCCCGGCCAGUGCUCCUCAUGAGUGUUGGCCCCACCUGAGCGAUGUCCGGGGCCCCACUCGUCACCCAGAGGUUUAGCCAUCCCUUCGCCUAGCUCAUCCGUCGUGUCCUGAGACUGAGAUACGUGGCUCUUAUCAGGGCCAUCGACACGACGGGAGGUCCUGCUAGCCUUGUCUUACCUUAGCGGUAUAUCUUGCGUAUAGGAAUCCCAGUGAAGCUUUGGUUUCCCCAAGAGUUGAGGUUUUCCUCUAAGGAAUCCGACGAGAUCACGAGAUUCGUGAUAGAGGAUGCCUUUGCGGCCUGUGUUCGUUUAUGAUGGACUAGUUGGAGCACCCCUGCAGGGUUUAAUCUUUCAGAAAGCCGUGCCCACGGUUAUGUGGCAACUUGGAAUAUUUUGUUAACAUCCGGUAUUAGAGAACUUGAACAUAAGCUAAUAAAAUUGCCAACUGUGUGCGUAUCCGUGUCUGUCCCCUCGAAGAUCCCUCUUCGAUCGGGAACACGGUGGGGUUAUGAAUGCCGUAGGUAGGUGGUCAGGAUCACUUAGUGAUCAAGUAUUCCCGACCGCUAGUGUAGACCACCUUCACAAUUACUUCGCGUAAGUUAGCCACUUAAUCAAGCUUAGGAUGCUGCAGCCUUAUACACUUCACCCUUACCCUACCUAAUAACAUGACUAGUUCUGGCACCAAGGUCUUAGAUUGCUGAGUCCCCGUGGCUCACGGAUUCCUCCGAAACUCCCAGCAGGUACAGGUACCCCAGAGACAGAUGAUCCCGACGGCACCCAGCUGGCGUGGCAAUACGACGAGGAGACAGACCGCCUCUAGGUGAGCUAUCCAGAGGACUGAGGCGUGGUCGUGAUCGUGGGCCUGCACGCAGGGUAGCAUAGCAUUUCCAUGUUUUGUAGUCCGUAGCGGAACUACCUUGAUUGUAUCUGUGAUGUACUCUGAGUUAUUAAUAAGAAGACAGUUGAAUCCCGAAUUGUCUACUUUUAUUGUUAUUUGUGCUAUGUUACUUGCUUGCGAAACGCUUAGAUGCGCUUCUUUCCUAUUCGGGGGCCUCGACCCCAAGAUCGGAAAGGACCGCAUCUUGGUCGUUACACCGUGUUAUAGUUGUUGCAUGAUGAAUAUCAUCCAAACAAAUCACCGACCCAUUGCCUACGAGUUUGUUCUAUUGCUGCUACUACUGUUGCUACUGUUGUUACUUGUCUUGCUCUACUGCUGCUACUACUCUUGCUACUGCUGUUACUUGUCUUGCUCUGCUGCUACUGUUGCUACUACUGUCGCUUGCUACUGUUGCUAUUUGCUACUGCUCUCACUACCACUGUUCCUUGCCACUGCUGUUACUCGCUACUUUUCUGUUACUACUUUGGUUGCAGAUACUAAUCUUUUAGGUGUGGUUGAAUCUGAUAAAUUCAGCUGCUAAUACUUGAGAGUAUUCUUCCACCUCCCGUCAUGCGAAUCAACAAAUUUGGGUCAAAUACUCUACCCUCGAAAACUGCUACGAUCCCACGUGCUGGUGGGCGUCAACAACAUUCUCCUAGUUUCGAUUGCCGGAGAGUGCUAACAACAUUCUUCUGGUGCCGUUGCAAUGGGGAAGAACAGUUGACAUCAAGCAUUUUUCUGGCGCCGUUGCCGGGGAGGUAUUGCUAUAUUCUCUAAGUGACUUGGGAUUUAUAUCUGCUGAUCACUAUGAAGAAUCUGAAGGAUCCGAAGACCAAAGUCUUGCCCUCAACUACGAGGGGAGGUAAGGAAUUGCCAUCUAGCUCUGCACUUGAUUCACCUUCAGUUAUGAGUAAGUUUGCGACAUCACCUCCUGCUAGAAAUCUUGAUAUGUCGCAUGUGCUUGAUGAUGCUUGUGAUACUACUGCUAGAGAUGCUAUGCUUGAUACUAUGCCUGAUGCUAUGCCUGAUACUGCUAGAGAUGCUAUGCUUGAUACUGCUUUGCCUGAUGAUGCUAGAGAUGCUAUUUUGCCUGAUGAUGCUAUGCUUGAUACUGCUAGAGAUACCACUUUGCCUGAUGUUCCACUAGGGGUAUUCCUUGAUGCUCAUAUUGCUAGAGUUACUGCCAAUGCUCGUGAUGCUUGUGAUACUACCGAUACUAUUGAGAUAGAACCUGCUUUUGCUCCUGCUAGAUCUAGCUCUCCUAGAUAUGAAUUGCCUGAUAUACCUGAGGGUUACGUUAUGGAGGGAGAGAUAGCUGAGGAAUUUCUUGCGUGUAAGGAUGCCUAUGACGCUGAGAAAUUACUUCUCAAGUGGAAGGAAAAAUCUCGGGAAGCUAAGAUGAAAUAUGACCCGAAGUUUGCCACUUCACCUAUCUUUAUCACUGAUAAGGAUUAUGAAUUCUCUGCCGACCCUGAGAUAAUCUCUCUAGUCAAAUCUGAUCCUUUUCACUGUUAUGAGUCUGAGACGGUCGUAGCCCAUCUUGCCAAAAUACACGAUAUAGCCACCCUUUUCACUAAUGAGAAGAAGAUCCGCCACUACUAUAUCCUUAAGCUGUUUCCUUUCUCUCUAAAGGAUGAUGCUAAAGUAUGGUUCACCUCUCUUGCUCCUGGAUGUGUGAGUAGUCCACAAGAGAUGGUCUAUUACUUCUGUGAGAAAUAUUUCCCUGCCCAUAAGAAGCAAGCUGCCUUGCAGGAAAUAUACAACUUUGCUCAACUCCAAGAAGAGAGUCUUCCACAAGCUUGGGGGAGGUUCAUCCAGCUACAGAAUGCUUUGCCUGAUCACCCUCUUAAGAAGAACGAGAUACUUGAUAUCCUCUAUAACGGACUUACCGAUGCCUCUAGAGACCACCUAGAUAGUUGUGCCGGUUGUGUUUUUAGGGAACGAACUGUAGAACAAGCUGAGACUCUACUGAAUAACAUCUUGAUCAACGAUAAUGCUUGGACUAUUCCCAGACCACCUCCUAAGCCAUCUCCUAAGAAAAGAGGUAUUCUAUUCCUCAGUCCCGAAGAUAUGCAGGAAGCCAAGAAAUCUAUGCAAGAGAAAGGCAUUAGAUCUGAAGAUGUAAGAAAUCUACCACCUAUCGAAGAGAUCCAUGAUCUCGAUAACCCGAUACAGGUAGUAGAAGUAAAUUCUCUGUGUAGGUUUGAUGAGAGUGAUAUUCCUUUUGAUAAACCUGCUAGCCUAUGCUUUGAUGAAUUUGACAACUUUGUUGCCAAACAACAGAGUUUCAAUGAUUAUGUUAGCAGACAUUUGGAACAAAGUACUCGUAUGCUUAGCCAUUUAAGUGCUUGUGUAGACAGUAAUGUCAACGAUCUGAAGCUUCUGAGUAAACAUGCCUCUAUGAUUACUACUCAGGUAGAACAAGUACUUAAAGCUCAGAAUGACCUGCUAAAUGAAUUAAAUGACAACUCUAUCAGAGUCAUUACUAGAGGAGGCAAAAUGACUCAGGAACCUUUGUAUCCUGAAGGUCAUCCUAAGAGAAUUGAUCAAGAUUCUCAAGGAAUCAAUGCUGAUACACCCAGUCAUCCUAAGGAGAAGAAGAAGGAUGAUAGAAACCUGCACGCCAGUUCACCAAAUACUGUCACACAUGAAGAACCUAAUGAUAUUUCUGCGUCUGAUGCAGAAACACAAUCUGGUGAUGAACAUGAACCUGGUGACAAUAUGGACAGUGAUGUUCAUAAUAAUGCUCAACCUAGCAAUGAUGAGGAUGUGGAGAUUGAACCUACGGUUAAUCCUGAUAACCCACAACCUAAGAAAUACGAUAAGAAUGACUUCACUGCUAGGAAGCAUCGUAAAGAAAGGGAGCCAUGGGUUCAGAGACCUAUGCCCUUUUCUCCUAAGCCAUCCAAGAAAACGGAUGAUGAGGAUUUUGAGCGCUUCGUUGAGAUGAUAAGAGCCAUCUUUCUGCAGAUGCGGUUAACUGAUAUGCUCAAGAUGUCUCCGUAUGCCAAGUACAUGAAAUAUAUCGUGACUAAUAAACGGAAGAUACCAGAUCUUGAGAUCUCCACCAUGCUUGCCAAUUACAGUUUUAAAGGUGGAACUCCUAAGAAACUUGGUGAUCCCGGAGUGCCCACUAUACCUUGCUCUAUUAAAGGAACCUACGUAAGAACUGCCUUAUGUGACCUUGGAGCCGGUGUUAGUGUUAUGCCGCUUUCUCUUUAUCGUAGACUUGAAUUGGAUAAGUUGACACCCACUGAAAUUUCUCUGCAAAUGGCCGACAAAUCAACUGCUUUCCCUAUCGGCAUUUGCGAGGAUGUGCCUGUUGUGGUUGCUAACACCACUAUCUUAACAUACUUUGUAUCUUGGAUAUUCCCGAGGACGAUGCCAUGGCUGUCAUCCUCGGAAGACCCUUUUUAAACACGGCAGGGGCUGUUAAAGAUUGCAACAAAGGCAAUGUCACUUUCCACGUCAACGGUAAUGAGCACAUAGUGCACUUUCCGAAGAAACGAUAUCAAGUACAUUGCAUCAAUGCUAUCGAAAAGACUUCAUCGAUUCUUAUUGGGAGCUUUGAAUGCCCUAUUCCUCGUGUCAAGAUGAAGUAUGAUUUGCUUGUUGGGGAGAUACAUAUCCCCAUUGAGGUGACUUAGUGGCUAUUCGAAAAUUCUCCGUCCUCUCUUGCGAUUCGAGAAGGUUUUGUCAUAAGGACUUGAUCAAUCCCAUUGACGGAUUUCUUUUGAUGACCAUGAAACGGAUGAAUCAAAGAGUCACAUACCUCUGUUUUAAAGCUUUCAUUUUCUGUUGCUUAGAAGAAAAAUGAUAGAAUUAGUCUAGCUUUUCCUGUUUUCUGUUUUAGCGUCCCGGAGAAAAAUACCUUGAAAAUAAAAGUUCUUCGAUGGUCCUGAAAAUUUAGUACGAUUUUUUCUGGAAUUUUUGAAAAUUUAUGGACCUGAGAGCUGGCCUGGGGGCCAGACCAGUGGGCCACAAGCCCUGCCACCGCCACCUACCCCCCUGGUGGCGGAGUGCAAGAUUGUGGGGCCUACAGGCACCCCCCUCCACUCAUUCCAGCUCUCAGCUUCUUCUUCCACCUCCAGAAAAAAUUGUUUCACAGCUCAAACCCGUGUUCUUGGUCAUUUGGUUGUGAUUUUCGAUCUCCUUGCUCAAAGCACCAUUCUCCGAACCGUUUUGGGGAAAUUGCUCCUUGGUAAGCGACUCCUCCAUUGGUCCCAUUAGUUUUUGCUCUAGUGCUUUAUCCUUCGUGUACUCUUGCUACCUUGGUGACCCUGUUCUUGAGCUAGAAAUGUUGAUUUUAGCUGGUUCCAAGUAGUUUUAGCGCGUGAUACGGUCUCUAGGCACUAGUAGGAGUAGUUGCUACAAGUUGGGUUAAUCUUUAUUCACUUUUCUUUCGAAGUCUCUAAAAAUUUCAGAAUUUUUCAGAGCUAGAAAAAGGAAAAGAUGAGGAGGUUCUUGAGAGCCUCCUCAAGCCAUAACCCCAAGGAGGAUGAGAAGAACCACCCCAAGUACGUAGUCCCUCGAGUCACAGAAGUUCGAGCGUGCGAGUGGCCAAGUGAUGAAUUUUUGUGCGUCGCCGGACUUUAUGAAGACUUUUAUUACUUGGUGGAUAACGCAGGUCUUACUGCGUUCGUUGAAGAUAAGUGCUCACAAUACCUCCUCCUCACCAAUAUUUUCGUUCAAAGCUUCAACUUUUAUCCGAGGAAGAAUCCUCCCAUGGUUGAGUUCAUGAUAUACGAUGUCCCCUAGUGCAUGACACUGCAGGAUUUUUGCAAUGUGUGCAAAUGACCUUAUGUUGGGGAUAUCCGUGACCCUCGUCCACAGGACUUGGAGGAUUUCAUUGGUUCUAUUGCUGUCGGAGAGGAGAGAGGAGUGUCUCGCGCUAGAAUUGCUAGCAUACAUUUUCCUGUGCUUCAGUACUUCUCACUAUUUGUGGGAAAAUGUUUGAUUGGCCGUGGGGAGGCUGGGUCACUUAGUUCUCCACACCUUGCGGUUUUGCGCGAAGGCCUUUAUAACGAUAACACUUAUAGUUUGGGCGCUAUAGUAGCUCAACGGUUGAACCUGAACCAUUCUAAAGGUGUAGUAUAUGGAGGUAUCUAUGCUACCCGUCUUGCUAGACACUUUGAGAUACGCAUUAGACUGGGAGAGGAAGGAGAGAUGUUUCUCCAUGAGAAAUAUCUGGAUUAUGACAGCAUGGUUCGCCAUGAUUUUCUGGAUAGAGAUGCUAGUAGACGGAUGAUUUAUAACCUGGUGUUUAGUCAGGGUACUCGAGAGACUAUUACUUUGCCUGCUCGUUCUUUGUUCGAUCUUCAUGCAGGCAGGUACACUAUUAUGCCCUCGGACAUCUACGCAUAUUGGGGCUUGGCCCAACCACAGGCGCCCGAGCCCGAGCCGCCAGUCGACUACCAGACGCCAGUUUAUCAGUGGGAACCAGAGGAGCUCACACAGUAGUGGCAUCCACAGUCUGCUCCGGAGUAUCCUGGAGCUGGUUAUUUCCCACCUUGGGAGUAGACCAAGCUAGGCCAAAAGCCUAAGCUUGGGGGAGUAUGUGUUCUCACCGACUUUACAUUCAUGCUUAUGCUUUCACUUUGUUAGCCGGUGUUUACACUUUACCACUGUAUUAUCCAUGCUAGUUUAUUUUUCUUUUCUUGUUUUCCUGUUUUGUGUCCUUUUGAGAAAACCCAAAAAGAUUUUUCUUUCUUCUUUUGCUUGUUGGGAGUUUUCCCAUGUAAAUAGUUUUCUUUUUCUUUGGGUCAAGGUAGAAGAUAUUGGUUACAAUGUUUAUUGGUUCUUGCAUGGUUACCUGUUUAGCUUUCAAAAGAGCCAUAUUACUUUGUCUUCUCCUUUGGGUUUGCGUGCAGAUUCAGCUUAGUCCAAUGCGCUUAUUAUUGUUCACAUCGUUCGAUCGUGCAAAUGAAAGGCAACAAUGAUGAUAUAUGAUGAAGUGACUGAGACUGAAAACUGGUAUGAACUCUAUCUAUUUUCUUUUUGUAAAUAUGACUAGCUUGUCGACCCAGAUUUAGCUUUGUUGUGAGAGAACCAUGUUUGCAAUGACAACUUAGAGAUCAUAGUUUCUGAUGCCAUGCUUAUUUAGCUGAGAGCUUAUAAUGGUUUGUCUUGAAUGCCAACAUAGAUUUUGAGAUGACUAUGGUGUAGUAUGAUAGGAUGGUAUUCUCCUUUGAAUGUUUCAAGUGGCCUGACUUGGCGCAUGUUCAUGCAUGUAGUUGAAAAAAAUCAACAUAGCCUCUAUGAUGUUCGUGUUCAUGGUGAUUUAUAUCCUGUUCAUGCUUGCAUUCAAUGUUAGUCAAACUCAUUGCAUCUUGAUGACUGUUGUGGCUCUCUAGUUGGUCGCUUCUCAGUAUUUUGCUAGCCUUCACUUGUACUAAGCGGAAUACUGCUUGUGCAUCCACUUCCAUAAACCCAAAAGUUUUUCCAUGAGAGUCCACCAUACCUACCUAUUUGCGGUAUCUACCUGCCGUUCCAAGUAAAUUUGCAUGUGCCACUCUCUAAACCUUCAAGAAAUAAUCUGUUUUGCUUGCCCGAACCGCUCAUGUGGUGACAUGGGGCUAUUGGUAUCUUCCAUGCUAGGAGUGUUAUCCUCGACAUGUGUUUAUUCACUGUCAUUCACGAGAAAGGGGCCGGUAAUUGGAAUGCCCAGUUCCACGCUUAAAUCGAAAACAUAACUGUAAAACAAGACUCCCCCGGAUUGAUGUUAGUAUGGACGGUACCCGAGGAUUCGGCUAGCCGUGGAGUGUGAUUGAUUGGUGGUGGGGGAGUUAAAACUUUACUUUUCUGUUUGGGAACCGCCAUAGCAUGAGUAGCAUGGAAGAUAUUGAGAACUCUUGGUCAUUGCGUUGACAAUGAAAGCAUGCCACCCAAAAUUAUUAUCUCUGUUUUCAAAGCUUGAGCUCUGGCACCUCUGCAAAUCAAUACUUCCCUGUGCGAAGGGCAUGUCUAUUUAUUUUCCUAUGGAGUCAUCCUCCUCUUAUAUAAGCACCAAUUAGAGAGCACCUCUGUGAUUUUUAUGCUUUGCUUUUGAUUGAUAUUGAGUAUGACUAUGACUGGAUCUUCGUUGUUAUGAAUUACAAUGUUUAGUGAGCCCUUGAUCUUUGAAAGUUCUCUGCAUUUAUGUUUUGCGGUCUCAGAAAGAGCUAGCGAGAUACCAUCUAUUCAUAUUGCUUCAUGCUUGUUUUGAUUGAAGUGUUGGUAUUUGAAACUCAUUAUUAUUUGCUCGAUGGCUGAUUAUGCCAUUGAUAUUAGUUUACCGUGAGACCUUUGUGUCAUUUUCUUAUGUGGUUAACUUGUGAUCUUGCUGAAAUUCUGGUUAUGAGUUAGACAUAGUUGCAACAGCAAGAUCAAACAGAGUUUGUCAAAGUUUUCUUUCUCUCUCAGUUUGUCAACUGAGUUGUUUGAGGACAAGCAAGGUUUUAAUCUUGGAGGAGUUGAUACGUCUCCAUCGUAUCUACUUUUCCAAAUUCUUUUGCCCUUGUUUUGGACUCUAAUUUGCAUGAUUUGAAUGGAACUAACCUGGACUGACGCUGUUUUCAGCAGAAUUGCCUUGGUGUUAUUUUUGUGCAGAAAUCAAAGUUCUCCAAACGUCUUGAAAAUCUACGGGGAGCAGUUUUGGAAAAUAUAAAAAAUAUCUACGCCAAGUUCCACCUUAGGGGGUGGGCGAGUGGGCCACAAGCCCUGGCUCCGCCACCACCCCCCUGGUGGCGGUGGGCAGGCUUGUGGGGCCCACACGGCUCCGCCGCCCCCAACCUCAGGUCUAUAAGUUCACUUUCGUCCCAGAAAAAAUAAAAAGAGAGGUUUUCAUCGCGUUUGCGAUACGGAGGCGCCGCCACCACAUGUUCUUCAUCUGGAGGGCAGAUCUGGAGUCCGUCUGGGGCUCCGGAGAGGGGAAAUCGUCACCAUCGUCAUCAUCAACCUUCUUCCCUCUCCAAUUCCCUGAAGCUCUUCGUCGUUCGUGAGUAAUCUAUUCGUAGGCUUGCUGGGCGGUGAUGAGUAGGAUGAGAUCUAUCAUGUAAUCGAGUUAGUUUUGAUGGGGAUUGAUUCCUAGUAUCCACUGUGUUCUGAGAUUGAUGUUGCUACUAGUUUGCCAUGCUUAAUGCUUGUCACUAGGGCCCGAGUGCCAUGAUUUCAGAUCUGAAAUUAUUAUGUUGUCACCAAUAUAUGUGUGUUUCAGAUCCGAUCUUGCAAGUUGUAGUUACCUACUAUGUGUUAUGAUCUGGCAACCCCAGAGUGACAAUAACCGGAACCACUCCCGGUGAUGACCAUAGUUUGAGGAGUUCAUGUGUUCACCAAGUGCUAAUGCGUUGGUCCAGUUCUUUAUUAAAAGGAGAACCUUAAUAUCCCAUAGUUUCCUUUUGGACCCCGCUGCCACGGGAGGGAUGGACAAUAGAUGUCAUGCAAGUUCUUUUCCCUAAGCACGUAUGACGACACACAGAAUGCAUGCCUACAUCACAUUGACGAACGGGAGCUAGCCACAUAUCUCUCCGUGUUAUAGCUGUUGCAUGAUGAAUAUCAUCCAAACAAAUCACCGACCCAUUGCCUACGAGUUUGUCCUACUGCUGCUACUACUGUUGCUACUGCUGUUACUUGUCUUGCUCUGCUGCUGCUACUACUGUUGCUACUGCUGUUACUUGUCUUGCUCUGCUGCUACUGUUGCUACUACUGUCGCUAGCUACUGUUGCUACUUGCUACUGCUGUCACUACCGCUGUUCCUUGCCACUGCUGUUACUCGCUACUUUGCUGUUACUACUUUGCUUGCAGAUACUAAUCUUUCAGGUGUGGUUGAAUUUGAUAAAUUCAGCUGCUAAUACUUGAGAGCAUUCUCUCACCUCCCGUCGUGCGAAUCAACAAAUUUGGGUCGAAUACUCUACCCUCGAAAACUGCUAUGAUCCCACGCGCUGGUGGGCGUCAACAACAUUCUCCUAGUUUGGAUUGCCGGAGAGUGCUAACAACAUUGUUCUGAUGCCGUUGCAAAGGGGAAGAACAGUUGACAUCACCCCUCCCAACGGAACUGCGGAACCCAUUCGUCACUCCUGGUACUUUACCGUAAUGUCCGAAAACCUUUCGGAAGCCAAAUGGAUACUUCCUAUAUAUCAAUCUUCGUCUCCGGACCAUUCUGGAAACCCUCAUGACGUCUGGGGUCUCAUGCGGGACUCUAAAAAACAUUCGGUUACCAACAUCAAUAAUUCAACUAUACCGUAAACGUCACCGAACCUUAAGUGUGCAGACCCUGCGGGUUCGAGAACUAUGUAUACAUGACGUGAAACACUUCUCCGGUCAAUAACCAAUAGCGGGACCUGGAUGCCCAUAUUGGCUCCUACAUAUUCUAUGAAGAUCUUUAUCGUUUGAACCUCUAUUCCAAGGACUCAAUUAAUCUCAUAUGUUGUUCUCUUUGUCAAUCGGUAUGUUACUUGCCCGAGAUUCGCACGUCGGUAUCUCCAUACCUAGUUCAAUCUCGUUACCGACUGAUGACGAGAUGAUGCAUAUACUUCUCGCACCUCAUUGGUUACCCCAAGUGGAAGGUUGAGAUGUAGUCAGCAGCAAGUUUUCCCUCACACAGGGACUAUAAGUUUAUCGAACCAGGAGGACCCCUAGGAUCAGCAAGUAGGUGUAUUCCACCUUGUUGCUAGCAGAAGACGUGGACCUGUACACACACAAAUAACUUUGCUCGCAACGAGUACAGAGAGGUUGUCAAUCUCUCCGGCCUUGUACAUUGCAAAGGAUCAAAACACAAGCGAGAAGGUAAUAGUGAUUCAAUGGAAAAGUAAAUGAAAUCGGUAAAUGAUGGAGGUGUAAACAAAGAUGGUGAUAUGGACCGGAGUCACAUGAUGUUCACUAGUGAUGUCUCUCUCCCAAAAGACGACAAACAACUAUGCUUGGGUAAACAAAUCACAAUUGGGCAAUUGACAGAAUUAUGAACGCACCUCAAUGCUAAUUAUGCUACUUGAUAGUUAGAGGUUCAAUAGUAAUGGGCAGUACGCCAAGACAAGUAGACCGUUUAUUCAUCAUCAUCUACUUACUAAUCAUCCACCUUGAGAUAUCUAGCGAGAACAUCUCACCGGUAUUAAGUUGCGAGCCCCACCCAAAGUGUAAACUCAAAUCAACGGGCAACUGCAUUAACGAACUAUGCGUAAGGUAAACAAUCCUUGCAACCGUGGUCACAAGCACCAUUGUUUCCUCCCUGGUGGCAACAUCACAUCCCCUAGUCUCAUGUUUCUUUCACUCAAGCUAGACAUCGAGGGGCAUGAACCCACAAUCAUGCAUAACGCUCCCUCUUGGAGUUACAAUCUACUACUCGACCAAAACAAUAAAUAGCAACGGAGAACAUGCAUGAAUCACUAAGGAACAUAAUGUAAAAGGAUAAUCAAAUAUAUAACUCAUAACAAUCUGAACAUAAUCUCAUAAUCCAUCGGAUCCCAACAAACCGAGCAUAGCAAUAGCAAGAGAAUUACAUAGAUGCCUUGAUCAUGUAGGACAGCUCACAAGGACUAACCAUUGAAGCACAAGAUUGGAGAGAAGACAUCACAUAGCUACUGGUCAUGGACCCAUGGUCGAAAGAGGACUACUCACGGCAUGUCCGGGAAGCAUCCAUGGCGGUGGAGAAGCUCCCGGAGGUCAAUCCUCCCUCCGACAGGGUGCCGGGAAGAGGUCUCCUCAUGCUCCCGAUCUCGGAAGCGCCGCGGCGGCGGAACGAUGGAGAAAUUCGCGAUUCUAGAAGUUGUGGAAGGGUUUCCUCU